This 51888-nucleotide long non-coding RNA is filed under the name Prunus persica (peach). RNAcentral describes it as "long non-coding RNA (PPER_LNC003842)". The record is from RNAcentral. Lineage: Eukaryota; Viridiplantae; Streptophyta; Magnoliopsida; Rosales; Rosaceae.
GAAAUUAACUAAAUCUCUUGAAAUAGGAACAUAAACCAAUUUGCAAAGUUGAUGAUCAUGAAAAACCAUGGUGGUCAUUGGGAAGAGCUCCAAAUUCCUUCAAGGUACAUUGUUGUCUAUAUUAUAACUGAGUUGAGCUUGCUUGAUCUUGGAUUCAUGCCAAGUUCUGUAUUUGAUCCAGUUGCUAAUUAAUUUUCCGGUUCCUAUAAGAAAAAUUUCCAUGCCACCCAUGUCCAACGUCACUUUUCUCCUUAAAAAUUUCCAUGCACUACUUGUACCGUGUUCCCUCGUUUUCAUUUUGCAUGGGUGUGAACUUCGUUCUCAUGAGUCUGUGUUGCGCUCUACUGCAAAAGGGCAACAUCUCUUGCACAAGGAUUAAAUUGAUUUAAUAUUUUGUUUCUCGUCUCUGUGGUACUUGAUGCUUGAUUUUAUUUCACAAAUAAUGUACAGUUAUUCUUUAUUAACUUCUGCGUUUCAAUUUUCAGCAUCAAGUCAAUUGUGUGCCUCAAUUUGCCUAGCUUUUCUGGUGGAUUUAAUCCUUGGGGAAUGCCAAGUAGGAGGAGGCAUAAUGUUGGUUCACGACAUCACCUAGUGAAUUGGAUCCAAAUUUCUUUUCUUAUUAUGUCUAACAAAUUCUUUGGUGGAUUUGACUUUUCAGGGAGAGUUUACUCCACCAUAUGUAGACGAUGGCCUCAUUGAGGUCGUUGGUUUCAGAGAUGCUUGGCAUGGGCUUGUUUUGCUUGCGCCAAAGGGACAUGGGACUCGUCUUACCCAGGUAAUAAAUAUGAAAUGGUUUUGUUACAUAAUUUGCAGCAAUGAAUCUUGAUCAAGCUGAAAUUAUGUUCAUAAUUGGCUUAUUUUAUGCUAAUCUUAUCGAUGAUAGGCCCACCGGAUCCGCUUUCUGUUUCACAAGGGUGCAAUCGAUCAUACGUACAUGAGGAUUGAUGGUGAGCCCUGGAAGCAACCCCUCCCAGUUGAUGAUGAAACUGUCAUGGUGGAAAUCUCUCACCUUCGCCAGGUGAACAUUCUUGCCACACACGGCUGCAGGUCGAAAAGCAUUAACAAUCCUGUGUCACCGAGCAGCCAUGGAGCUGAUGAAGAGGAUUCGGAUGAAGAAGCUCAUGAAUCAGCAGAGUAUAGGAAGUUUGGUGCAGCAGACACAUUUAAGCUCCCGGAAGAAAUUGAUAUUUCUCAGCUUAGCUAAACCACUUAUUAAGUCAUUCCUUUUCUGUCCAAUCCUAACUCCCUUGUGAACGAGUGAGAUUUCUAUUGGGAUUUCAUUGCCAUCUUAGCUUAGUACCAUUUCCAGCAGUCAACCAUGAAAUAUCUUUUUAUUUCUUUGUGAAGAAUUGUUAUCUAGUUGUAUAUUAUUGAUUUAUGUGAAUGAAAUAAAUGCAAAUAAUUCUUCUCAAAUUCGUUGGAUCCCAUCAAGUCCUGGCAGAACAAGGGUACAAGCAUUGAAGUAAAAGAAACUCAAUGAACCAGGAAGAUGAAAUCUUUAUGAUAGGAGGCUCAAUCAUAUGUAUACACAGUGCAUAAAAAUCGUGAUUACUUGUAAGGUCAAGCUUAGGCAAUGGAGGCAAGAGUGAUGCUAUGGAAGCACUCGAUUAGGGUGAGAGAGAGAGAGAGAGAGACUAGCACUUAGCUUUACUGUGGAGAACCCGAUUCAAAUAUUGCAAAUCGAGAAUUGUAGUUACAAGCUAUAAUACAAUUUUUUUUUUUUUAAACAAAAGGUAAUAAUAAAAAGUAAAUAUGUAGACAUGUGGGAACAUAGGCUGUUGCUGGAGCACCACUGCAAGCAAUACACUAACUGCAAACCUACAAGUCGGUGGAAAGGUACAUGCCUAAGUGUAAAAACUCCAACUCUACCUCAAAGAUUUGGGGAUCUGCAGCUUCGCGGAGAGUGACCAGCUUUGAAGGAGGCAUCACUCCGACUACUGGCGAACAUAUUGGUAGUCUCCCAUUCAUUUUGUAACUGCUUCAUUGGCCUUCUGAUUUUCAACCCUUUCUUCUCUUUUCUUCUUCUCCCUGAAAGCCACAAUCAUUGCAUUGAAAUACUAUGGUUACCCAUUGGAACACAGUAAGCACAAAAGCUUCUCCGUCCUUAAUGAAUCAUAAGCCAAAACCCAUAAAUUAUUACAGAUAAUCGAACUAAAGCUAUGGAUUUUAACUUUAUAAGGUCUAGUGGAUUAACUGGUUAAAUAUUUUAGCUUCAAUUGUGGAUGUCAUGUGAAUUGUGAUCAGGUAGAGACAACUAGUACCAGAGCGACAGGUGUACACUUGAGGAUUAUUAUCAUGUCCAUCUUAUCUAUCAUAUAUAAUAUACUAUGAAUUCAAUAACGGACAUGAUGCUGAGGGAGAUGUUACCUGGCCACAUAUUCCUUUAGAAGUUCUUUUGCCUGAACCAGCUUGGAAAGCAGAUUGCGGUACACAUCAAGGUCCCGGUCCACACUUCUUUUGUCAAUGUUUAAGGCUGCACAUAACUGUUGGACAACCAAAAAUGCUCAAACAUUGCUCUCUCUCUCUCACCAACCAUUAAAUAUGGUCUCCAGUUAAAAAUUACAAACAACUCUUCAAAAGUCAGCAGAGCCCAUUAGGCCCAGGAAAAAUGUAUAUAGUAAGUAAAUCUAUCGGCUCAAGUUGAUCAUGCAAGGUAAUUCAAUCAUUUGAUGUAACGGUCAUUAACUCAACCAAGCACAAAAUGCAGUAAUUUUAACAUUUGGCUGAACACCUAUCAUUGAGUUGUAAUGUUGAUGCAUAGGACUGGCAAGUCUAACCUUUUCUAAUAUUGUUGGUUCAGUUGCAUUGGCCAAUUCGAGAAGACGAAAGAGCCCAACAGCAAAGAAACGACUGUAGCUAAAACUUCCUUUGCUUGCUGCCCUUUCUGCAAUGUCCUUCAAUGUCCCCUCAAUUUCUCCUUCUCUGGAUGGGAACUCAACUAAUGAACUGGAAGUUUGUGCCCGAGCCCACUCUUCCAACUUUUGUGCAUCAAUUCUGUAGUGCUUAGCAUGGAAACUUAUCUAGUAAAGGUAGAGACUUUUCUCAAAUAUAUAAGAAAGAGAUUGAUUACAUGCAAAAAUAAAAACUCAAAUGCACAUGACACUCCCACUGGAAAAAAAAUGCAGUAGAAGUUUUGACAGUGAACAGAUUAAGAAUUGUUUCCCACAAAAAUUACUCUUCUGAAGAGGAAGCACAAAUGAUUGGUCAUGGUCAUGGCCAGUAUGACAUAUUUGUAGUGUAAGGAGGUGUAAAUUCUUAGACUCAGUUUACAUUUGGAAAAGCAGAGGAAAGGGAAGAAACCAUUUCUGUGGUUGAUGAAUUAAAUUAAUUAAAUCACAAUUUUUUUUAAUAUAAAAAAAUUAUCUCUACUUCAUAGAUUUUUCAAGAUAAAAAAGAAAAUGAUAGAAUACUUAACAAAUUAGGAUUCCUUUUUUCUUUUUUUCUCAAGUAUCCUAUGACCAGUGGUUUUCCCUUUAUUUUUCCAAUAUCAAAACUGAUCCUUCAAUGCAUGUGUCUCAGAUUAUUUUAUCAACCAAUCUUCUGGCAUAAACUAGGAAAUUCUGAUGUAGCAUUAUGCAGUUUGCAUGAUUCAGAUAUCUUCUUAAUAGGAUUUUCUUGGUUAUAAAAAAAAGGAAUACUUAAAUGCAAUAUCACAAUCUCAAUUAGUAGCUUACAUGUUCACUUAGUUUUCAUAAUUUUGAAACCUCAGAUAAUGCGAUUGUCAGUUUGCCACAGUUUACAUACCACAUUUCUUCGUUUCAAAAUAAAAACUUAUGCAAUGGAAAAAAACAGAGAAGAGGAAUCCCGAAGAAGAUCCCACACAAGUGACAAACCUGUAUUGCUCUGGGUCCUCAUUCAAUGCUUCGAUGUAAGCUUGGAAGAUUGCCUCUCGAUCCUCAUCGCUGGGGUAUCCAUCCAUGAGUUGAUCAAAUACAGUGACAAAACCAAGGGCGAACACGGGAUCAUACCGGUAUGACUUCUUGUACUUAAUCAAAUGCUGUUGGACAAUCAGCUCCUGCAGCACAGUGUUGUAAACACUAGGGAUUGGUCGCUUAUACGCUUUAAGAAAAUUCAACUUUGUGUCAGCUACAGUAGGCGCAUCUGCACAUCAAGUAAGCAACCACAAGAAGACCAAGAAAAUUAUGGAGAAUUUAAUUAUAAACUUCUUGUGGAAUAAAAAUUAAGAGUCUGUUGAAACAAAUUUAACCAAUAUAAACUCUGAUAAAAUUCAAGCAUAUUGGCUCAGGAACCAAAGAUGGGUCCUGAUGAAUAUGAACAUCUAGCUAGAUAAUUAGUUCAUCAAGGCUCCAUUGUUCUUAUCCCACAUGAUCAAGGCAAGAUGAUUAGAAAAAUUCUUCCUUUCCAUAUCAGUAAAAUAACUUCCUACCAUUAACAUAUAAGGAAAGGCAUAACAAAAAACAUUACAGCUAAAUUAGAUCGAACUAAAAGCUUAAUUUUACUUUAAACGAUGUUAAUUUAGUAUGCCAUAGCAGGCCAAAGAGGUAAAAAAGCAGAAAUGAACGGAAAAUUCACUAGCUCCUGCACAAAAUUAUUUAAAAUUAAGCUCCAGUCUAGUUCCUGAUAAAAUGUAGCAACGUUAAAAGAUAGCAAUUCAAUGGCAUCAAACAAAGGUACGAAGCAAAACCCACAUGACGCGCCUGACAUGCAAUGAAUCAUCAUACGAGAACUCGAACUCGAUGCUCGAACACCACCAUUAUUGCAGGAAAAGCUCGUACGGAGCCGGAGACCUUCGGAGUUGUAAGCCAAAUUCCGAGUAGAAGAUAUUACCGAUUUUCUAUCAGAACACUGACUCAGGGCAGAGAAAGAGAGAGAAGCAACGGCAGCCAUUUUUGGAAGAGAGAGUAUUAGAGUUGGAAAUUUUCCGGGAAAAUUUUAAGCAUAGUGGAGAGGAAGAGAGAAUUUGGUGGGUUUUAGGAUUUUAAUUUAUAAAAUAAUUUCGGGGAAGAGUGUGAGAGAGAUAGAGGUCCACGAAAAGGCUUAUCCAAGUGUUGUGAUCCAGUAGUUUUUUGACAAGUGGUGUUUCGUGGUGCGGUAUCUGAAAGAGAGACAUGGUGAUGGGUCGGACUGAAUUGGACCGGGCCGCCUGAUAUUUUAUUGGAUAGUCAGUUUAUUUUGUUUCUUUUCUUUUUUGAUAGAGGCCAUGGAAAGCGAUAGCCGUUUUGAUUUAGAGUAUGCGCGGUCUAGUUUGGUUUGAUUCGAUUAAUGGAUGACGCCUAUAGCCAUGGUUGUCGACAUUCAAAUGUUAAUCAUAGUUUGUGAGGAGAUUAAUUUGAAGGGGGUGAAAUAGUGUAACGUCAAUCAAAAUAAUAUCUAACAUCGUUAAUAAAUAUUGUCAAAAUUAUGGAUGUGCGAAAGUCGUUUUGAUUUAGAGUAUGCCUAAUUUGGUACGGUAUUGGUUUGAUUUAUUCUCGAACUAGUAGUAUAAUCAAUUCAUUUUGAUGAUCAAUUUGGUUUAGUUUGUUUUGAUUUCCCUUACUUAAUGAUUAAGAAAUAAUAUAUUCUUUUACUUAAAUCAAAGAAAAAUUCGUUGAAAAAAUAGUUGAGAAAACUUCUUAAGGUUGAAUAUGUAUUUAGAGAUAGAGAUAGAGUACAACAUCGAUGAGUAACAUCAAUGUGUUGGAAGAUUCAUAAUAGUGAAUGGUGACAACCAAUAAGAAAAUGCACAUUAAAAAAAUCAUAAAAACAAUAUAUGUGGUUUUAUUCGGUUUAUGCGGUUAAAAAAGGUCAACCUGAAUUAAACUGAACAAAACAGCUCAAUAUAGGUGAUUUAGUUCGGUUUAUAUGGUUUUCAAGUAAGCCAAAUCAAAUCAAAAUAAACUAAUUAUGAACAAUUUAAACUGAACAAAACUGCUCAAAUGGAUUGGCCAGUUCGAAAUCCCUACUUCGGUUGAUAAAUAGAAAUCAAAAUGGAACUAAAGAUGAAAGCAAAAUUCAACUCUUAAGAAAGAAGAAAAGGAGAAGGGCAAGUUGCAAGGAUUGUUAGGUGUCAAUCUUAUCCAAUUGUAGAGUUAAACGUGUACAGGCUAAACAUCGACUCAUGUGGAAAUAUGCCUUCUCUGCCUCCAAUGUCGAUGGAAGCAACGUGCUCUGCAUUGUUUUUUAAUUUUCUGUCUGUGACUGUGAUACUAUCUUCUUAAACAAAACAGGGAAGAUGAGAAGAAAAGCUCAGGACACCCCAAGAUCUCAAUGCUUUGAGUGAAUUGAUUUUGCCAAGUGGCAAACCCUAACAAAAGCUUUUUUUUCUUCUUCUUUUCUUUUCUAAAGGAGAUAUUACUUGAUCUUUAGCAAAUCAGGAAAGGAAAUUCACCAUUUUUUUUAUAUACAAAACCUCUAAAUCAUUCUUUUCCAGCUAUGUUGCUGCCCUGCUGCUUCUGUGUCUAUAAAUGGAAGCUGGCCUCCAAGUUGUAGCCAUAUAUUUCAUUCUUAAUUUGAGUGCAUAACACUCCAAGUGCAGAGAUCACAAAUCACUUACAAUGAUGCAAGGAACUAAUGGCCAAGCUGCUGCUUCUGCUUCUUCUCCUAAAGGCAACUACUCUGUCUCAUCUUCUACUAGGCCAACUAUAGCAGAAGUUUAUGGUGGUCUUACACCAAAAGUACUUUUCAAUAAAGCUACUGCUAACAACAGCACUACUACUAGUGAUCAAACUCAUCAAAGGCUUAAACAGCUGCAGGCAGAAGAAUCGCUUCGCACUGUCAUGUACUUGAGCUGCUGGGGUCCUAACACAUGAUGAUUCAUAGCAGACACUCUAGUAUAAAAGUAUCCUAGAUUAAUUAGUCUCUCUCCAAGAGGACUUAAGUUGUUAAUUUCUUCUAUCUUUAGUUUUAAACUCUUGAAGAACUGUGCUGUAAAAUUAACUCUUGACUAUUUUUCAUAUGAAUCAUGCACAAUAUUUUGUAUCUGUCAAGAAGAAAAUUAACUGCAGAAGUAAGUAUUUAUUUUAUUAGAUCAUCAAGCAGUGAUGUGUGGCUCUACAGCCCAAGAAGCGGGCUAGCUUUUUCCAUUACAAAACUCACAACUCUCUUUUGAAGGAAGAAAAGCUGCAUAUAGUAUAACAAGGAGGAGAUCACAUCAUGCACAGUAUAAGUAUCAUAUCGGCAUGAUUGUAGUUAGGUUCAUAAGUAUAUAGAUAUCAUGGCUAAUUAGGGCCCCAACAAAUUAGAUUCAUGACUUUCUCAACGUUUUCGGCUUUCCUUAAGCACAUCUGUCUCUCUUCCACUUCAAUCUUCUUCUUCACGGUCUCAUAGGUGGUACAAGGAAACCUUAUUUCAAAAAGCUUGUGCAGAUCAGAUUCUGGUUGGGAUUUUUCUUGAUGGCAAGGCAUGAUUGUAGUUAUCAUGGUGAUGCCUUUUUAGUUUUUAGAGCACUGCUGACUGCUUAAUGAUCCAAUUCCCCUCCUGCAUAUUUAUAUAUACACUUUUUUCUUUUUAUGUAAACAAAUCUUUAUUUUUUUAUAAAAAAAUUAGUCUAUACUUACAGCAUCUGAUUUUUACAAAUUUUGUUAACUUAUUUCGUGGCUUUUGGGUUAGCGUUAAAUGGGGUUUUGGCUAAUUAUGUGUCUCUUGAUUGGAGUAAAGGCUACUAGCUUUUAGAGUUCAAAACUAGUGAAGAUAGAUGAGUUUUGUCAAAAAUAUGGGAUCAUCAAGUGGUAAUUCAGGGUCUAAUUAAUUCAUUUUCAAGCUAAAUUAUGUAGGGGGACGAUGACGAUUGAUUCUAACAGCAAAAGGAGUGAUUUCAUCACUGCAACUUGAGUAGCCUCUCGUAUAGGACUAAAGCAGUCAUUUGAAAAUGAGCAAUAUUUGGAAAAAGAAAUAGAUGAAUGAUCAAAAUAUCCCUUCCAAAAGUUGCACAAAAAAAUCCAUAUUAAAAUAAGUGUAGAACAAAAACAAGUUGGUACGAGCAUGACACAUUCGAUAAGAUGAAACGAAUGUAGCUAGUAGCACGAAAUGGAUCGCACGUAUCAGGAGACAAAAACAAACCCUCAUCAUUCUUCAGUUUUGAAGGGGAUGAAUGGGUGAAAAGCAUGUACAAAAGGAGACAAAUAGCUGAGAUCACAAUAGUGCUAGCUCCUUCUUCCGUUACUUGCUUCAUCAAAAAACAAGAAGCAAAACCUUAGGUUUUCUCACAGAAAACCACUGCAGAAUUUGUCUUACAUACAAUACUAAUAAUCUACAAGGGACAAAUGCAGCUUCCGGAUUUCCACAAAUCUCAAAACCACUUUGUGUUUUUCUUUUGCUUUAUGUGUAUAUAUAUACAUUCAGUGUUAGGGUCCAAAGCAUAGUCCUCCAUACCUAAGAAACCAAAAAAAAAAACCCCGGAAACAGAAAAAAGCAGAGUGCUCUGCUGACUUAACUGAAGAUGUGUGCAACAAGAGGAGCUUGGAUCGCAGCGGUUAGUGUUGGAGCUGUUGAGGCUUUGCAAGAUCAAGGCUUCUGCAGAUGGAGUUACACCAUGAGGUCUUUGAUCCAGCAUGCCAAGAACAAUAUGAGAUCAUUCUUACAAGCCAAGGAACUCUCUUCUUCUUCUUCUUCUGCUAUGGUUUUGAACAAAAUGAAUUCUGAACAGAAGAACCAAGCUGAGAAUUCUCUAAGAAAAGUCAUGUACUUGAGCUGUUGGGGUCCUUAUUGAAAUCCCUCCAAUAUUAUAGGUAGUUGAGGAUGUACCACUUAGAUUUUAUUUUUGAAACUGAGUUUAAGCUGUAUAUACAUGAUUUGAAUGUAUAUUUUCCCAACCCAACAACAAGAAAAUCCCAGAUUUUGAUUUUUAUCAAUGAACAUGAACGUUGGUUCUAUUUUUCAGUCAAACAACUAACCAGUUGAAAUUAUCACAAAGCCAAAAACAAAGAACCGACUAGUUGGAAUUCAUAUCAGUUAAGUGCAACAAGAACACAAUCUCAUCCUAUUGAUCAUCGUUGACAAAAUUCAAGUACAAAAGUAAUGUAAAAAUCCAAAGGGUUCAUUUAGAUCAAAAUCUUGGAGCAUUACGUUUUUCAAAUAUAAAAUGAACACACACCAGACACGUCGAUAUUCCAUCUUAUUAGUCAUCUAAUUCGUCAACUAUAUAUGACACUUUUAUCACAAACUAACCAACUAACUCUUAAUUUAGUGAUAUUUCAUUUAAAAGAAAGAAAGAGAAUCCUCAUUAAUUUAGUAUGUUAUGUUUCUUCUUCAUCAAAUACCAAUUGAUACUCAAUCGACAUACAUCGACGUGUGACAAUCAUGUGAACUCUAACAUGAUCACUUCUCCAAUAAGAGUGAUGGAAAUUUAGAGGAAACAUUCUAGUUUUUGGGGGGCAGCAGAUGUUAGGGACACUCAUACGUCCAUCCACGUGUAAGAAUCAUGUGAGCUCCAAGGAAGUUGAGGUUCUACUCCAAACUUAAUUCGGAGGAAGUAGUCCAACUCCUUAUAAGUAGUUGCUAGAUUUCUCAUCCAUCCAAUGUAAGACAUUUUCAUUUCACAUUUUCACAAUUGCACUUGCAGUUGCACGUGAACAUUGACCAAAAAAAGAGAGUAAACUACCGGUUUCACUCCUAGACUGCUACUACUAGCCCACAGUCCAAAAUAAAGUGACAAGAGACUCUGUUUCUGUCUUUUGGUCCACACUCCAAAUCAAACAAGCAAACAAAUGGUUUCACUCCCAUACUGCGGGCCUAGAUACAAUAAUUUAAAUCAAAACCAUGUGCUCAUGAGGCAACAAAACUCGGUGCUUAUCCAAACUCCAAAAUCUUAAAUUCCACUUUUACCCCUGCCCAGUACAUCAUAUCCCCUGCAUCUGCAUGUACAAAACAGUAAUAUCCCCAAAUAUAGUGUAAACAUCCACAUACCUUACCAAAACAAACAGAAGAAAACAAAACCAGCUCUGGUUUUUUGCCACAAGCCCACCUUUUUUUAAAAAAGAAAUCCCCCAUAUAAGGAGCACCUCAAGAUAAUCUUCUCCAUCAAUACACUCAAACAUUCACAUUCACAUUCACAACUGAGAAGUUCAAAGCAUCAAAGAGAGGUCAGUAAGGAAGAGAAAAUAAAUCGUAAUCGUGAUGAGUUCAUCAAGUGCAAGCAAGGCUAUUGUGGCAGCAAGUGUUGGAGUUGUGGAGGCAUUGAAGGACCAAGGGAUAUGCAGAUGGAACUCUGCUUUAAGAUCUGUGCACCAGCAAGCCAAAACCCAACUCAGGUCAUGUUCUCAGGCCAACAACAAGCUCUCAUCUUCUUCUGCUUCAGCUGCUUUCAGUAAAGUCAGAGAUGAGAAGCUGAAGAAAUCAGAGGAGUCUUUGAGGACAGUCAUGUACUUGAGCUGCUGGGGUCCCAACUAAUUCAAUCAGCACCGAAACAAGCGCAAAAAGAUCACAUUUCUGUUGAGGCUUUGAAAGAUAAAGGCUUCUGCAGAUGGAGUUGCACCACCAUGAGGUCUGUGCACCAGCAUGCCAAGAACAAUAUGAGUUCUUUCUUACAAACCAAGGAACUCUCUUCUUCUUCUGCUAUGGUGUUGAACAAAAUGAAUUCUGAAGAGAAGAAUCAAUCAAGCUGAGUAUUCUCUAAGAAAAGUCAUGUACUUGAGCUGUUGGGGUGUUUAUUGACACAAAUUGGAGCUCAUGGUGAAGUCCCUCAAGAUUUGAAGAUUUUUGAGACUGAAUUGAAGCUGUAUACAUUAUUUGAAUGUAAAUUUUCCCAAUCAACCAAAAAAACAAGAAAAUCUAUGUUCUUUGGUUUUUAUGAAUGAACAUUGGAUCUAUUAAUUAGACAAUUCUCGACCAGGUUAACCUUAGCUUACUGUAUCAUUGGUACUUAUUUGGAAUUCUAAUUCAAUACAUGUUGGUUUUAUUAAUGGUUCCUCCUUCAAACAGAGAUGCUUUUGGUUCUAUUUUUCAGUCAAUCAACUAACCAGAUGAGGUUAUCACAAAACAAAAAACAGAGAACAAACCAGUUGAAAUUUAUCAGUUAGGGGCAACAAGAACACACAAGGUUAUCUCAUCAUAUUGAUCAUUGUUGGCAAAAUAAAAAGGCAGACGGUUCAUUUCGAUCAACCAAAACUUUAAAAACUAACUCUUAAUAUAGUGAUAUCUCACUUAGAAUGAAGAAAGAGAAUCCUCAUUAACUUUACAAAGGGUCAUGAAGCGUUUAACAAAAGGCCUUGACUAAGUGAAGAAAGAGAAUCCUCUCCAACUUUACAAUGGGUCAUGAAGCGUUUAACAAAAGGCCUUGUCAUUUUGGUCAAGGUCCACAGAGUCUUGUUCAGUGGAAAAGACAAAAGGACCUGAGUCUUGUUAAGCGGAAAAUUACCUGACUUACAGACUAAUUGUCCCAAUUUCAAACUUCUCUGAUACAGCUGACAAUGUGUGUAGGAGAACACCUCCCUCCGGCAAUAUCACUUGUAUAAAAAAGGCCUUAUGAUGUGUUCAAAUCCGACUCAUAGCUUGUGCAAGCAAGGCGAUGACAUAGGCCCCCAAAUAUUUGAGGCUCCAAUUUUUUUUCUAGCCCACUUCUAUAAGAAACCCAAAAUAUCCCUUUAUUUUAAGUUGGAUCUUUAUGCAAGCUUUGGAAUUUGAAGGCAUGAUUAUAAGAAAUUUAUAAAAUCAGGUGAAUUCCUUAUUUAAAAAAUAAAUAAAUAAAUCUAAUGUGAAUGAAUUUUGUAGUUUAAAUUAUGAUUUAUAGAUUUACCCUUAAAGUUUUCCCUUAAAAAUUCACCAUGAAUGAGAAAAUAAUGUUGUGUUGUUCAUAACUUUGUCAUUAACAUUUUUUUCUUCUCUGAGAAUAUCAUAACUAGGGUGUACUUAGGGCCAUGUUGGCAUUGCUGUGCUGUGAAAAUAAUAACUAUCAGAUUUGCUAUGAGAGAAAUCAAAUAUGAGAGAGAAAACAGUUUGGCGUUUGGUAAACUUUUUAUUAAAAAUGUUGUUGGUACUGAUUCCCAUUUAAACCAACGCUUUUUCGAAACUGAUUACAGCCUAAUCAAAAAAUGAAAGCACCUCAUUAACUGUUUUUCCUUGUAGCUUUCUUUCACUGCAAUUUUUAAUAAUAAGUGAUUUUCUCAUAGUUUACCAAACAUGCUGGGCUUUUCAAUUUUUUUUUAAAAAUCACUUAUUAUCACAAAUAAGUAAUGUCAAAUGAGCACUUAGAUAAUUUUAUAUUUUAAUUUAAAUAUUUGGGUAUAUUCAGUUAUUUUCAGAGUUUGUUUAAUAACACCCUUAAUUUAUAAUGUAAUGGUAUCGUACGACUUUGAUUAGAUGAGAUAUAAAAGGUUACCAAAUUGUUGAUUCCCUUUAUUAUAAUAUAGUAUUUGUUUGAAUUUCUUUAUGUUCCUGUUGGGGCAUUGAGCACCAAAGUAUGAUGGGAAAAUUAUAGAAUGGUCUCAAAAGGAUGGACUUCUAGGAGCAAAUUCCUGGCCAUUGAACUUUUUGUAUGGUUAACUUUAAAAAGCUCGUUUGGACCCAUUUCAAUUUAAUAAUAGAAUAUUUAAAUAAACAUAAAAUUUCCAACAUUCAUGAAGUUAAUUGAGUAUGAAAUAUUAUUACAUAACAUAGUUUAAAUAUAUUGCAAUAAACGUGAUCAUCAACUGAGAUGCAAGCACGACAUAUAUGAGCUGCUGGUGGGGCCGCCUUGCCCAGAGGAUCGGGAGCUGCACUGUCUGUUACGGUGGUGCUCCAUGGCAUCGAUAAGAUUCAGGACCGGGUAAUGCACUGCUAAGAUCAGCUCCUCUCUCUUCUGUUGCGGUGGUGAGGCAUGACAUUGACGACCGGGGAAUGCAUAGGUAGGAUGAGUUGUUGUCCUGUUGAUGUCGGGCUGGAGCUAUUGGGCUAUCAGGAAGAGUUGGAGCUACUGGGCUACCGAGUCAGGUGGAGCUAUUAGACUACCAGGUAAAGAAACCUCUUAUGAAAAUAUAGCCCUUGAGACAGGUGGAGAAUCAAAGAUCAGUUAAGGGGAGAACGAAGAAAACACCAUGCAACAAUAACAAAAAUGACCUAGCCACUUAACUUGAACACAGGGAUCAGGCAUAAGAGCAUUUGCCGGAUGCCAAGCACACGAAUGCUCUAAGAACACAUUAAAUCAACAUCAAUAUCAUAUCAAUGUAUCCUGUGAAUGGAAAUACAAGCAGAUUAGUAAAUCAACAUGCGACGGGCAUUAUUCGAUAAAUACAACAUGCAGUAAAGAGACCAAAUGCUGGAACUAGAAAUAAUUUUCAAAAUAAUUUUCCUUUUAGAACGAGUACUGCAGACAUUCAUGAACUGCUAUGGCACAGAUGCAGAAGCCCAGGCUUGUAUAUACCCCCACACCCAAGCAUGCAUUCAUACACUUAAUCAAAAGUAAUAUAUUGACUUAAAAAAAUAUAUUAAUAACCACUGGCCAUCAUACCAAUAAGACGUAAACAUGACAUUGAAACAAAACCAGUGAAAAGGUAUGACUAUCAUUUUCUCACCCAGAGGGGCAGAUUCAUGUCAAUCUGCCAAUUUAGAGUAAUGUGAAAGCAAAAUCCGAAAACACUCAUCUACAUACAAACCGAUCAGGCCAAUGAUCAAUGUAAUCUGUCUGCAAUCCGAAAACACUUGAGCUGCAUCUAAACAUUACAUAACUCAUCACUCAGCACAGCAUAACACGAAGAGUUUAAACAGAAGCAAAAUUACAAACUGUUUGCGCUGUUUGCUUUACCAAACCUGCCGUCAAUGGCCUCGGUGAUAUUCUUAGCAUUCAAACUCUUGGGGACAUCUCGUAUCCAAGUCAUCUUCCCAGACGGUACGUGUAAUAUCAGAACAAAUUUUCACACAUCAGAAGUGAAAACCAAGCUGGCACACCAUUGUUAGCAUGAACUGAUACUCUCAUAGCUACUUUACAACCUUGGUGGCCAAAACGACGCUCCUCGCUCCUCCCCUGACCCUGAGUCUGGGCUCGCUGAACCACUGGAUACAUUUCUGUAGAGUCGAAUAAAUUGAUGCCGGACAGGAAAGCUUGGUCGAGGAGGCCAUACGACUCCGAAAACGUGUUUUGCUUGCCGAAAGUCAUCGUCCCUGCGUGAAGAAUGAAUUUUUAUUUGAGGAUGAGAGGGAGGGCCAAAGAAUCAGACUCAGAGUCGGUAAGAUUGGGGGCGAGGUUGAAGAGAGGCACUGCCAUUGCUUCGCUUGAGAAGCUUUUUGAGUUUGUCAACUGUGAGUGGAAUGGGAAGGAGAAAAAUCAAAGUAUAUGCUAUAUCGGCGCAAGUUUGGCGGAUUUUCAGGGGUUGGAUAAGAUAAAAACAUAACCGAGUUACUAUCUAUGUGUUCGAAAAAUCGUCCAACAAAUAAAUAAUAAAAUAAAAUAUAAAAAUCCGCCUAGGCGGGCUAGGCGGGUUGGGUCCUUUUUUUCUUUUUUUUCCUGACUUUAAAUAAAACCUAGUCUUGGAGGGAUAUGGAGAGGAGGAAGAGUUAGAUUUAGAGGCCGAGCUUUGAAUCAAUGCCUGUUGAAGCAGAUGCAUCAGUUUGGAGAGCCUUGCUCAAUGCUUGUCGACUUCAUUCUGCCACGAAGUUAGCUGGAACCAUAUUUGAAAAACUUGUUGAAUUAGAAUCGAUGAAUGCGGGGAAUUAUGUUCUGAUACCUAAUAGAGAUAUUUAGUAAUAUACCAAUUCUUAACACUAAUAUUAUAAAUAAACUCUAUAUCAUUGAAAUUCUAUAAACAAACCCCAAAAAAAAACAAAAAAUAACAGCUGGCCUUAUUGAAUUUAAUAUUGAUGAUUAAAUUACUUUGAUGCCCUAUUGAGUGUUUUGGGUAUUUUUAUGAGAUUUUGGGGUUGAGCUUGUUUUAAGAAAUUGAUGAUAGUUUUGUAAUUUAUAAGAAGUUCAAAGCCUCUUUGUUAUGUUGUAAAUGAGUUUUGGGUGUGUUGCUAAAGUCCAUUUCAUAUGAGGUAUUUUUAUAAUUUGGGCCCCUAUAUUGAGUAUAAUAGUAAAUCUCCCUAUCUAAUAUAUAUGCUGCAGCAGGUCUAUGGAUGGAGGUCAGGCAGAUAAGAACACGGCUCAGGGAAAAGGGUUAGAAAAGCCUCCUGGAGUAAGUUGGAUUGUUGUUAAAAGCCAGGUCCAUUGUUUCGUUGCCGGAGACACAUCACACCUUCAAUCAGACAUAAUUAAUUUAUGCAAGUUUAAAUUCUCUGUCAACCUUGAUCAAAGAAAGCCGAUACAUUCCUGAUCUUUGAUUGGUUUUGCGUGACGAAGAGGGUUAGGUUGAAAGUGGGGUCAUAAUCUUCAGUUUUGCAUACUGCUGAGGGUUGGGAACCUUUUAAUGAUCACUAAGGACUCAAAAAGGCUUUGUGAUGGGUUCCAUUGAUUAAUGUGUCUGUCAUUGUUGGAAGGGAAGAACAUGAAGAAUUUUGUAUCAUUUUAGGUCCCUGACCGGAUUCUUUUUUAGGCUUGAUAAACAAUUCCAUCGUGUAUAUUUGUAUUGAGAGUCUCUGACAUACAUGAAAGAAAGCUUCCAGAUAUAGUUUCUCAAAAGAAUGAAAGCAUCAAUUUCAAAAGAUGGAGAAGGAGAGUCAAUUUAAGAAGUUUGGUUAUUGAGUUUCAGACCAAAUUGUACACUGCUAGAAAUAUUGAACUGUAUAUACAAUUCACAAUGGCUCCAAGCCCAUAUGGAUUUAUAGUUACCUCAGGCAGAGCAUAAUUGUAAUUUUUUUUUUUCGAGAGAAAUUAUUUGAGUCAAAGGCUAAUUCUUAUAGCAAUGAUGCCACAAAUCUCACAAAAAAACGCCAGUCUAUCUCACUCUGCAAAGAUAAUUACUAAACCAAAAUUAUCAUUACGAUUAUGUAUUCAGCCAAAAUUUUCGAAGUUUGUGUUUACAACAGUUUGCCCCCCAAAUUUUAACAAGCAACUCUAAAAUUCUUGAGAGGCAGAUCAAUUGUUUCCUCUCCCUUUACCAAUCUUCUUCGGCAACAGGGUGAUGAAUGUUUCGCAAAACACUGCCCUUACCAAUAGUAACAAUACCAAUUCAAGACUUGGAUUUAGGGUUUGGAGGCUAAAAUCCAUUUUUAGAAUACAAAAAUAAUUUUCUAGGAUUUUUAAAUAAUUGAAACUAUUUUAAAAUUUCACAAAAUUAUUUAAGAUAAUUAAAUAUAUUUAAUUACUAUUUAUGAAGUAAAUUAAAUAUUUAAAUACUAAUUAUUCACUAAAUAAAUAGUAAUUAAAAGAUAAUAUAUUUAAAGAGUAUAGCCGGGCGGCUAUACUUUUUAAAUAUUCGAAUAUAUUAAAGGAGUAGAGCCGCGCGGCUAUACUCUUUAAAUAUAUUGGAAUAUUUAAAAGGUACAGCUGAACGCUAUACGCUGUAAAUAUAUUGGAAUAUUUAAAAGGUAUAGCCGCGCGGCUAUACUCGUUAAAUAUAUUCGAAUAUUUAAAAGGUAUAACCGAGCGGCUAUACUCUUUAAAUAUAUGAUGUUUUAAUUAUUUUUUAUUUACUGAAGAAUUAGUAUUUAAAUAUUUUAAUUAAUUUCAGAAACUACUUCAUAACUAGUAAUUAAUUUUGUGGAAUUUAAAAUUAUUUAAAAAUCCUAGAAAAUUAUUUUAGUAUUCUAAGUUCCUACAUAUCAAAAGAUGAGAUGAACAAUUUGAAAAUUGACCUCUAAAAAGAUUCAACCGAGCAUCUGCAGGACCCCCAUUAAGUCUCCAAACCAGAGUCCUAACGUGGACAAGAACAUGAAGAAAGAAACUAUAAAGAAUUGGAGGGAGAGGUGUCGAACCUAUUGCAAGAGAUACUGGAUGAACAGUACUUCCCUGCAAUAUCAAUGUAUCCUGUGAAUGGAAAUACAAGCAGAUUAGUAAAUCAACAUGCGACGGGGAUUAUUUGAUAAAUACAACAUGCAGUAAAGAGACCAAAUGCUGGAACUAGUGCUGCAGAAAUUCAUGAACUGCUAUGGCACAGAUGGAGAAGCCCAGGCUUGUAUAUACCCCCACACCCAAGCAUGCAUGCAUACACUUAAUCUAAAGUAAUAUAUUGCCUUAAAAAAAAAAUUUAAUAACCACUGAGGCAUCAUACCAAUAAGAUGUAAACAUGAAAAGGUGUGACUAUCAUUUUCUCACCCAGAGGGUUAGAUUCAUGUCAAUCUGCCAAUUUAGAGUAAUGUGCAAGCAAAAUCCGAAAACACUUAUCUACAUACAAACCGAGCAGGCCAAUGAUCAAUGUAAUCUGUUUGCAAUCGCCUUAAGCUGCAUUUAAACAUUACAUAAAUCAUCACUGAGCAUAGCAUAACACGAAGCGUUUAAACAGAAGAAAAAUUACAAACUGUUUGCUUUAGCAAACCUGCCGACAUUGGCCUUGGUAAUAUUCUUAGCAUUCGAACACUUGGGACCAUCUCGUAUCCAAGUCAUCUAAACAGACGGUACCUGUAAUAUCAGAACAAAUUUGCACACAUCAGAAGUGAAAACCAAGCUGGCACAAAAUUGUUAGCAUGAACUGAUACUCUCAUAGCUACUUAACAACCUUGGUGGCCAAAACGACGCUCCUCGCUCCUCCCCUGACCUGAGUCUGGGUUCGCUGAACCACUGGAUACAUUUCUGUAAAGUCGAAGAAAUUGAUGCCGGACAGGAAAGCUUGGUCGAGGAGGCCAAACGACUCCAGAAACGUGAUUUGCUCGCCGAAAGUCAUCGUCCCUGCAAAGAAUGAAUUUAUAUUUGAGAAUGAGAGGGAGGGCCAAAGAAUCAGACUCAGAGUCGGUAAGAUUGGGGGUGAGGUUGAAGGGAGGCACCGCCAUUGCUUCGCCUGGGAAGCCCCUUGAGUUUGUCAACUAAGUGGAACGGGAAGGAGAAAAAUCCAAGUAUCUGCUAUAUCGGCGCAAGUUCGGUGAAUUUUCAAGGGUUGGAUAAGAUAAAAACAGAACCGAGUUACUAUCUCUGUGUUCGAAAAAUCGUCCAACAAAUAAAUUUAAAAUAAAAUAAAAUUUCCGCCUAGGCUGGUUGGGUCCUUUUUAUUUUUUUAUUAUUGUUUUUUUGCCUGACUUUAAAUAAGGGCUCGUUUAAAGUCUAACUAUUCCUCCUCCUCUCCAUAUCCCUCCAAGACUAGAGGCCUAGCGUUUCAUUUCAAGUAUUUUUCUUUGUAGUAACUUUUUCCCAUGUUUUAUAUCAAUUAUGUUUUUUUUUAUAAUUUCUAUAUCCUUUUAUUUUGCAUGAUUUCGGUAUAAAAUUAUAAUUUAUAAUACAAAAUAAUUAAUUUCUUUUUUAAAACGCCUAAGCCAGAUUACUCUUCUAGCUGCUAGGCCCCUGCUACUGCCUUGCGAUUUUUCGAACAUUGAUAUCUACAUCUAUAAAAUUCCUCAUUGCACCACAUAAUUGAUACAAAAUAUUUAUUUACUAAAAACCACCCUCAAAUCAAAUUAUUUUUACAUUGACAACUACUUCCUGCUGAUAAUUGAUACAAAUAUUUAUUUACUAGCAUUACCAUUUCCCCUAAAUAAACAAUCUUUAUUACUUUUUCAGAAACAAUUAAAAUAACAUUCAAGAAACAAGAAAAACUAGAGAAAGGAGGUGCACUUAGGGGGAUCUCACAAAACCUUGCCUUGAAAAUUCCAAUAGAGGAAAAUUCAAUCAAGGAAAAAGAGUAUCACACACCUCCCUCAAAAACACUAAGCAUCUUCUCUAUUCGCCACCAGCGUAAACCAACCCAAAACAAUCGCCACCGUUCACGUAAACCGAAGUGAACCAAAAGGUGUGCGGCUUCAUUCCCUUUGCGAGGUUGAUAAAACACUUCACGCACUUGUAAAUGCACCAAUAAAUUCCUCACAUCUUCAACCAGAUUGCCUAGAUUGCUCCAACAUUCGCCAAAUCCAAUAACAAGCGACACUGCCUCUUGAGAAUCAGAAGCCAAAAGAAAAUUUUGGUAACCUCUCCACAAAGCCAUUAACAAACCUUCUAGCAUCGCAGCAAGUUCGGUUCCCAGAACAUCAAGUCCAACAUGUCCAUCACAUGCAAAACCGAAAUAAAACUCACCAUCAUGGUCCAUUUCCCCUUAUUCAUAUCUUAUUAAACUAUUUUCUAUUAAUUUUGGCCAAGAAAAACUAUUUUCCAUUAAUACACUCUUUUAACUUGCUUUCUUUUCCAUUUCCCAAAAUUAAAAGUGGAUUUAGAACGUUUGUAAUAACAAAAUAAGUGAUAAGAGGGCAACUAAUUAUUGUUUAGUUCACAAUUUAAUGUUAGAAAAUCCAUCAAAUCAUUUUGGUAACACUGAAUUAGAUCUUCAAACAUCUAUAAUUUUGAUCUAGAAACCUCAACAUUUUCAUUUUACUUUUCAUUUUCUGAGUAUGACAUCCGUUUAUUUGAAGGGCUAAAAUAAGAGAAUCGAUUUCAUAUAUCUUUAUAUUUUCAGUUUGAUUUCUCAACCGAUAAAUGAUCUUGCAUAACAUAGCAUGUAGAAAUCUUCAGAAAACUUAUGGCACAUUGUACUAUGUGUCUUUAAGUGGGUUCUUUCAAAUUGCAGCAUCCCAACAUGUCCAUGUGUGCCAACUGCUUAAUGAUCCAAUUCCUCUCCAGCAUAAUUAUAUAUACGCACACGUUGGAGUAUUUUUGUUAACUUAUUUCGUGGCUUUUGGGUUAACGUUAAACGGGGUUUUGGCUAAAUAUGUGUCUCUUGAUUGGAGUAAUGGCUACUAGCUUUUAGAUUUCAAAAGUAGUGAAGAUAGAUGAGUUUUGUCAAAAUUAUGGGAUCAUCAAGUGGUAAUUCAGGGUCUAAUUAAUUCAUUUUCAUUCUAAAUUAUGUAGGGGGACGAUGAUGAUUGAUUUUAACAGCAAAAAAGAGUGAUUCAUCACCGCAACUUGAGUAGCCUCUAGUAUAGGACUAAAGCUAGGGGCGGAGCUAUUCAUAGGCCUGAGAUGGCCUGGGCCUCCUUACCAUCUUCUCACCUCUUUAACUGUAUAAAGAGCACAACAUAGAUUGCAAAAAAAAAUCCCAUAGAUUUAAGCUUGUGGCCCCCCCAACAUCAAACUCUACCUCCGCCACUGACUAAAGCAGUCAUUUGAAAAUUGAAAAUGAGCAAUAUUUGGAAAAAGAAAUAGAUGAAUGAUCAAAAUAUCCCUUCCAAAAGUUGCACAAAAAAUCCAUACUAAAAAAAGUGUAGAACAAAAACAAGUUGGUAAGAGGAUGACACAAAUGUAGCUAGUAGCACGAAAUGGAUCGUACGUAUCAGGAGACAAAAAUACACCCUCAUCAUCCUUCAGUUUUGAAGGGAAGCAAAUUAAUAAAGACAUAGAGCAGCAGAGAAGGGAUGAAUGGGUGAAAAGCAUGUACAAAAGGAGACAAAUAGCUGAGAUCACAAUAGUGCUAGCUCCUUCUUCCGUUACUUGCUUCAUCAAAAAACAAGAUGCAAAACCUCAGGUUUUCUCACAGAAAACCACUGCAGAAUUUUUCUUAUAUAUAAUAAUAAUAAUCUACAAGGGACAAAUGCAGCUUCCGGAUUUCCACAAAUCUCAAAACCACUUUGCCUUUUUCUUUUGCUUUAUGUGUAUAUAUACACAUUUAGUGUUAGGGUCCAAAGCAUAGUCCUCCAUACACAAGAAAACAAAAAAAUAAAAAUCCCCCAGAAACAGAAAAAAGCAGAGUGCUCUGCUGAAUUAACUGAAGAUGUGUGCAACAAGAGGAGCUUGGAUCGCAGCGGUUAGUGUUGGAGCUGUUGAGGCUUUGAAAGAUCAAGGCUUCUGCAGAUGGAGUUAUACCAUGAGGUCUUUGUGUAAAAUAGGUAUGAAAAGAUAUUUGACCAGAAUAAUCUUAUUGAUCAUUGAUAUAUGUUUAUAUAAUACAUUCCGUAGGUUUUCCCUAUAAGUAAGCUAACUAGCUAGGAAAGAAUAUAUACGGGAAUCAAAUAAUAUAACAUUCCUAUUCUAUUAUACAAUCCCUAAACUGAAGGGUAAUCUUUGAUUCUCAACACUCCCCCUCAAGUUGGAGAGUGGAUGUCAAGAACUCCCAACUUGCGUGACAUACGAGCGAAAUCAUCUUUGCCCAAUGCUUUGGUGAAGAUGUCUGCUAUUUGCUGGGAAGAAGCAACAUGCUUUGUCGUUACAGAACCAUCUUGGAUUUUGUCUCUAAUAAAAUGACAAUCCAUUUCAAUGUGUCGUGUUCGCUCAUGGAAAACAGGAUUUGCUGCUAUAUGUAACGCAGCUUGGUUGUCGCAAUGAAGUAUCGCUGCCUUCCGAUGUGGCAACUGAAGAUCUCGUAACAAACUACGCAACCAAGUCAGUUCACAACAAGCACCAGUCAUAGCUCUGUAUUCUGCUUCUGCUGAAGAAAGUGAAACAGUUUUCUGUCUCUUUGAUCUCCAAGAAAUCAAGGAGUUUCCGAGAAAAACACAAUAUCCAGUGGUAGAUCUUCUGGUGGUUGGACAACCUCCCCAGUCAGAAUCACAAUAAGCUCGCAAUUUUAAGUCAUUUUGAGCUGGAAAAAAUAAACCUUGUCCUGGAGUGUUUUUGAGGUACUUCAAGAUGCGCAACGCCACCUCCAUAUGAGGUUUACGUGGCUCAUGCAUAAAUCUACUGAGCACAUGCACUGCAUAUGUAAUGUCUGGUCUCGUGAUGGUCAAGUAAAUCAAACGACCCACUAACCUCCUGUACUUGGCUGGAUCUUUAAGCAAUUCACCUGUGUCAGAUAAUUUCAAAUUUUGUUCCAUGGGAAAUAAGACAGGUCGUACCCCAAGAAAACCACUAUCUUUAAGGAUGUCAAUGGUGUAUUUCCUCUGAGAGAUGCUAAUGCCUUUCUUUGAACGCGAAACUUCAAUACCCAAAAAGAAUUUAAGGUCACCGAGAUCCUUAAUGCGGAAGCGGGUAUGAAGAAAACGUUUAAGAGAAUUAAUGGCACCCAAGUUAUUUCCUGUGAUCAAUAUAUCGUCAACAUAAAUCAAGAGAGCAAUGAAUGACUUUCCUCUGUUGCACGUGAAUAAGGAAUAGUCUGCUUUGGACUGAGUAAAACCAGCAGCUUGAAUAGCUUCAGAAAAUUUUGCAAACCACUGACGAGAAGCUUGUUUUAGGCCAUAUAAAGACUUGUGGAGGCGACAUACCAGAUUCUCCCCCUGUCGCUGAAGACCAGGCGGUGGUGUCAUAUAAAUCUCUUCAUGGAGAUCCCCAUGAAGGAAGGCAUUAUGGACAUCUAAUUGAUGAAGGGGCCAAGAGGAAGCAGCAGCAAGUGCAAGAAGGCUGCGAACAGUAACCAUCUUGGCGGUAGGAGAAAAAGUAUCAUGAAAAUCAACACCCUCUGUCUGUGUAUAACCCUUGGCGACUAACCGAGCUUUGUACCGUUCAAUAGAUCCAUCAGAAUGAUGUUUGAUCUUGUAGACCCACCGACAACCAAUAGGGUGCUUGCCAGGAGGAAGAGGAGUAAGAGUCCAUGUAUGAUUGGUCUCUAAAGCUUGAAGUUCAGAGCGCAUGGCUUGCUGCCAGUUAGGAUCAGAAUUGGCCUCAGAGAAGGAACGGGGCUCCACACUGUGACUGAUGUGAGUAAUGAAAGCAAGAUGUGCUGGUGUAUAUCUGUGAUAAGAAAUAAAGUUGCUCAAGGGAUAACGAGUACCUGAGGUGCGAUGUGAAGACGAAGACUCCGAUUGGACAUCGUUGGGUAGCGUGACUUGAGAGCAAACAUAGUCUUGGAGGCGCACAUUCGGAACCUUGUGACGUUCAGAUUGGCGAGUGGGUUGAACGGGUGGUGCCGGUGAAGGUGGUGCAGUAGGCGGAAGAGAAGAUGGGAUUGCAAGAGGAUCUGGUGCUGGAAGAGGAAGAUCUGCAGAAGGAGGCGCAAAAGGAGUGGAACUCAUUGGACUAAUAGGCAAAGUGUGCUCCGUGGGUUCAGGAGCUAGAUUGGAAUUUUGUGGUGGAGAUGAGUCAUGGGCUGAAAUGGGUAAAGGAAGGCUAGUGUUUGGGAUGGUGGUGGGACCAGCUGUUGGAGUAGAAAAAGGGAAGACAUCUUCCUUAAAUAAAACAUCUCGGCUAGUGAAUAUUUUUUGAGUGGACAAAUCAUAGAGUUUAUAUGCCUUUUGACCAAGUGGGUACCCAAUAAAAAUGGAUUUAAUUGCUCGAGAAUCAAACUUUUUGGUAGGGUGGACUAUAGUAGCAUAUGCAAGGCAGCCAAAUACUCUUAAAUGUGAAUAUGAUGGGGUUUUGUGAUAUAAACGUUCAAAAGGGGUUUGUUUGGAAAGAACUAAAGUGGGAAAUCGAUUAAUCAAAUGAACGGCAGUGAGAAUGCAGUCCCCCCAAAAACGGAGAGGCAAGUGUGCUUGAAAUCGCAAAGCACGUGCGGUCUCAAGAAUAUGACGGUGCUUACGUUCGACAACACCAUUUUGUUGGGGUGUGUAGAUGCAAGAAUGUUGAUAAAUGAUGCCUUGUUCUUUAAAAAAAUCUCGCAAUGAAGAAAAUUCACCCCCAUUAUCUACCCUAAUUGCUUGGAUUGUAGCAGUGAAUUGGGUCUGAACCAUGGAAAAAAAAGAUUUUAGAAUCCCUUGUGUUUCAUGCUUAUGAUGCAUAAGGAAAACCCAGGUAAAGCGAGAAUAAUCAUCCACUAUAGUUAAAAAAUAACGACCCCCAGAAAGGGAAGGAACUUUGUGAGGUCCCCAAAUAUCACAAUGAAUAAGGGAAAAAGGUUUUGAAGUUGAAAUUGAACUAAUGCCAAAAGGAAGGCGAGUUUGUUUAGAAAAAUGGCAAGCAUCACAAACAUUAUGGAAAGAAAAUGAACAAUUCAAAUGUUUUGCUAAAAAUUGUAAACGAGAGGAUGAAAUAUGCCCUAAACGGCGAUGCCAUAAAUCUCCAGGAGUUGUAACCAGGUGACAGGAAGGUUGGAUGGUGGAUGGUGUUCUGUCAGACGCCAACGCCACAAGGUAGUAGAGCCCAUCACGCUCCUUACCCAAACCAAUCAUCGUCCUCGUCUUCAAAUCCUGUAAAAUACACCAAGUGGGAAAGAAAAUUACUGAGCAUUGUAAUCCUUUCGUAAGUCGACUUACGGACAUCAGAUUAACUUUAAAUGUAGGCACACAUAGCACAUCUCGUAAAUAAAAAUAUGAGUUCAAAGGAAGAGUCCCAGUAGAUGCAAUUGGCGCUGUUUCUCCACUAGGCAUAGUGACUGGCAACAUAGAGGAAGUAUUCAUCCUCUUGGUAAGGAAUUUCGAAUCUGAUGUAAUAUGAUGAGUUGCUCCACUAUCAAUUAUCCAAUGUAAAUUGGGUAACAAUUCGGAAAUACCUGAAGAAGCUGAGGCGGUAUUGGCUUGUGGUGCAAUGUGGGAUGGAUUAGUGUUGUCACUCAUCAUCGCAUGAAUUUUCUUACAUUGAUCCUCGGAUAAAGAUGGCAUAGCUGUGUGAAUCUCCUGCAAGGAUGGACCAUUGGAUGCCACAUUAUUGGCGGAACUGCUGCUACCUUUCCCUUUACCUUUCCCGGAUUUGUGAAGCCUGUGUCCAGGGGGAUAGCCAUGUAGCUUGUAGCACUUGUCCACUGUAUGGUGAUCCUGAUCGCAAUGGCUGCAGUGAAGAGGUUUGCGCCCAGAAGAAUUUGAACGCUGAUUGUUUCGAACUGCCAUAGCUGCUGGUUCGGUGAUUGCUUGGCUGGAACCUAAGUCACGCUGCUUUUCUUCUUGGGUGAUCAAAGAAUAAGCCUUGCGAACCUUAGGGAGAGGCUGCAUAAGAAGUAUUUGGCCUCGAAUGGCGCUGUAGGACUCAUUAAGCCCCAUAAGGAACUGCAUCAACGAGUUUCGUUCCUCCUGUUCGACAUGCUUCUUCAUGGCACCGCAAGAACAAGCUGGGACGUCGCUGUAAGAAGACAGCUCGUCCCACAGACUCUUCAUCUUGGUAUAAUAAACAGCAACAGACAUCUGCUCCUGUGAGAGGGAAGCUAUGGUGCGUUGUAUCUCGAAAAUACGAGGAGCGUUAAGUUGGGAAAAACGUUCUUUAAGGUCCUCCCAAAUCUCUUGUGCGGUGGAGGAGUAUAACACGCUUUCUGCAAUAUCUGGUUCUAUCGAAUUGAGCAGCCAAGAUAAAACCAUGUCGUUGCAACGCUGCCAAACCUCAAAAGUCUCAGGAUUAGUUUUCUCCGAAGGGACUUUGAUUGUCCCAUUCACGAACCCCAAUUUGUUCUUCGCGCUUAGGGAGAUGCGCAUAGAGCGGCACCAUGUCGCAUAAUUGUUUCCAUUAAGGAUUUUGGAAACAAGAACCAUUCCAGGAUGAUCAGAAUGGUGAAUGAAAAAGGGAUCGGAAGCAUCGUUUUUGCUUCCCGAUGCAGCGGAUUCUUGGUCUUUGGUCAUGGUGGCAGCGUCAAGGAGAGGAUGAAAAUUAAGGUUGAAAGGUGACUAUUUGACAAGUGCGGCUAGAGCCAAGAGCUAGAGUUUCCUCUGCUCUGAUACCAUGUAAAAUAGGUAUGAAAAGAUAUUUGACCAGAAUAAUCUUAUUGAUCAUUGAUAUAUGUUUAUAUAAUACAUUCCGUAGGUUUUCCCUAUAAGUAAGCUAACUAGCUAGGAAAGAAUAUAUACGGGAAUCAAAUAAUAUAACAUUCCUAUUCUAUUAUACAAUCCCUAAACUGAAGGGUAAUCUUUGAUUCUCAACACUUUGAUCCAGCAUGCCAAGAACAAUAUGAGAUCAUUCUUACAAGCCAAGGAACUCUCUUCUUCUUCUUCUGCUAUGGUUUUGAACAAAAUGAAUUCUGAACAGAAGAACCAAGCUGAGGAUUCUCUAAGAAAAGUCAUGUACUUGAGCUGUUGGGGUCCUUAUUGAAAUCCCUCCAACAUUAUAGGUAGUUGAGGAUGUACCACUUAGAUUUUAUUUUUGAAACUGAGUUUAAGCUGUAUAUACAUGAUUUGAAUGUAUAUUUUCCCAACCCAACAACAAGAAAAUCCCAGAUUUUGAUGUUUACCAAUGAACAUGAACGUUGGUUUUUCAGUCAAACAACUAACCAGUUGAAAUUAUCACAAAGCCAAAAACAAAGAACCAACUAGUUGAAAUUUAUAUCAGUUAGGUGCAACAAGAACACAAUCUCAUCCUAUUGAUCAUCGUUGACAAAAUUCAAGUACAAAAGUAAUGUAAAAAUCCGAAGGGUUCGUUUAGAUCAAAAUCUUAGAGCAUUACGUUUUUCAAAUAUAAAAUGAACACACACCAGACAUGUUGAUAUUCCAUCUUAUUAGUCAUCUAAUUCAUCAACUAUAUAUGACGCUUUUAUCACAAACUAAAUAACUAACUCUUAAUUUAAUGAUAUUUCAUUUAAAAAAAAGAAAGAGAAUCCUCAUUAAUUUAGUAUAUUAUGUUUCUUCUUCAUCAAAUACCAAUUGAUACUCAAUCGACAUACAUCCAUGUGUGACAAUCAUGUGAACUCUAAUAUGAUCACUUCUCCAACAAGAGUGAUGGAAAUUUAGAGGAAACAUUCUAGUUUUUUUGGGGCAGCAGAUGUUAGGGACACUCAUCCGUUCAUCCAUGUGUGAGAAUAAUAUGAGCUCCAAAGAAGUUGAAGUUCCACUCAAAAUUAAUUUGAAAAAAAUAAUCCAACUUUUUAUGAAUUGUUACUAAAAUAUUCAACCAUUCAAUAUGAGACAUUUUCAUUUUCGCAUUUUCACAGUUACAUUUUCAACUAGCACGCAAACAAGUAAACUACUGGUUUCACUCCCAGACUGCUACUACUAGCCCACAGUCCAAAAUAAAGUGACGAGAGACUGUUUCUGUCUUUUGGCCCACACUUCAGAUCAAACAAGCAAACAAAUGGUUUCACUCCCAUACUUCCUAAAUACAAUAAUUUAAAUCAAAACCAUGUGCCCAUGAGGCAACAAAACUCUGUGCUUAUCCAAACUCCAGAAUAUUAAAUUCCACUUUUACCCCUGCCUAGUACAUCAUAUUGCCUCCAUCCGCAUGUACAAAACAGUAAUAUCUCCAAAUAUAGUGUAACAUCCACAUACCUUACCAAAAGAAACAGAAGAAAACAAAACCAGCUCUGGUUUCUUGCCACAAGCCCACCUUUUAAAAAAAAAAUUCCCCUAUAUGGGGAGCACCUCAAGAUCAUCUUCUCCAUCAAUACACUCAAACAUUCACAUUCACAUUCACUACUGAAGAGAAGAAAUCAUAAUCGUGAUGAGUUCAUCAAGUGCAAGCAAGGCUAUUGUGGCAGCAAGUGUUGGAAUUGUGGAGGCAUUGAAGGACCAAGGGAUAUGCAGGUGGAACUCUGCUUUAAGAUCUGUGCACCAGCAAGCCAAAACCCAACUCAGGUCAUUGUCUCAGGCCAACAACAAGCUCUCAUCUUCUUCUGCUUCAGCUGCUUUCAGUAAAGUCAGAGAUGAGAAGCUGAAGAAAUCAGAGGAGUCUUUGAGGACAGUCAUGUACUUGAGCUGCUGGGGUCCCAACUAAUUCAAUCAGCACAGAGACAGAGAGCAAAAAGAUCAGAAUUUUGCGCAAGAGGUUGCUGAAAUGAAGCUUGGGCAUGAACAUAAGGAUGAAACAAGAUUACACAACCCAUGAAAGGGCUCCUUGAGUUUUAUAUAUAUCAAAUGAUCAGGAUAUGUAAACUUGUUGGGUUACAUACUACUGGCAAAGGCAAUCGUUGUAAAUGGCAGACAGUUCAUUCAUGUCUGCUUGCUUGCUUGGGGCAAGUUGAUGUAAAUUACCACAUAAUGCAAAAGCACACAUAUUUCUGAGCAAUUGAUGCCUUGAUCAUUCUUUUCGAGUUUUUCUUUUUGCCCUUUCUUAUUAAUCCAUUAUUUACUUCGUUUUAACUGAAGGAUUUAUGAUACUAUAAAUUUGAGUAUUUAGUAGUGAAACAUAAUUGAGUUGCCCUAAUUGGGUAAAAUCCAUUGUGUUGAAUGGUUUCUUUCUCCAACAAAAGCUAUAGCCCAACACAUCCCAUGGUUUUUCCCACAUUUUAUGGGGUUUCCUUCCUCCUAUUCAUCCUCUGCUUUCGUUUCAAGUAAGCUCAGCUGCUGAGGUCCCGGUUGAAUAUUAAUUCAGCUUGUUUGUUAGAUCCCCUGAAUUCUCUAUGAUAUAUACAAUUGAUUAUUCUAUGCACCAGAAACUUAAACAUUAAUCAAGCUACUUAUUAAUGUUUAAGUUUUUAUGCUAACACACAUUUUAUAUCAAAUGAGUGUUGUUGGUGCUCUCAGAAAUGGUGAGAGGUACCUCUUCUUUUUGUAUUUUUGUUCACCACUCUUAAUUAGCGAUGAGUAAUACCAUCACGUUAAUUAUUGUGCAAGAAAUUCAUGUAAUUGUCGUGGAGGAAAUUCAUGUAAUAUGUAGAUUAAAUCAUACUCAUCAAAUGAAAAUUAACCUAAUUAUAAUGCUCACUAUUUCUUUAAUGAUAUGUCAACACAUAGUAGACUCAUGCCUAUAAUUAGUCGAAGCAAAUAGAGAGAAGGAAAGACACUAUAAUGUUUGUUUUUCCGCCCACGGUCCACACCAGACCAAGUAAACAAAUAGUUUCACUCCUACAUUGUGUUUGAAAUAGAUGCGCAAGAGGCAGUAAAUAGAAUCAAUUCUGACAAAGAGUGUUUUGAAGCAGAAGAGAACUUGGUGGAAGAUAUUAAGGAGAUGCGGUUGUGGUUUAGAUCUUUCUCGUGUGAACAGCAGUGAUGGGAUGGUAAUGUAGUUGCUCCUGAGCUAGCCCAAUAUGCUAUUAGAAACACAAACAUGGAUUGAGGAGAAGCCUCCUUGGUUGAGUUCUUUGCUUGCUGCAGAUUUAAGAGCUACUGGUUGAUUUAUAUAUUCGACAUCAAGUGGGAGGCCUUUUUUUACCUUUGGCGGAUUUUCCUCUUUUUUGGGGUUUUUUUAUGCCAACGAUUUUUUACAAAGGCCCAAACUGUUAACGUGAGUUAACCUACUAAAUCAAGGAGAUUUAUUUCCUAAGUUAAUUAGGUGAUUUACUUCAUUGUUUUAUAUAAUUGACACAUCCUUGUAUAAUUAGGAGAUAUUCUCCUAAUUAAUUACUGUAUCUAUUUCUUUAUGAAGUACCCUUGUAAAGUCCUAUAUAUACCUCCUUAUGGAGAAGAAUACAAUUAACCUAAAGUAUUCAAACCAUAUUCAUAUUUUAGCAUGGUAUAAGAGCAAUCUAUCCUAGGUUGUCUCUAAGCCCUCAAAUCAUACCCUCAAAUUCAAACCCAAACCCUAAAUCAAAUUCCUUACCUCCCAAAUCAAAUCCUCUUAUCAAACUCCUUAAACACAUACCUCUCAAAUCAAAUUCCUAAAUCAAAUUCAUACAUCAAAUUCCUCAAAUCAAAAUCCUCAAAUUCUCAAAUAAACUCCUUAACCACAAACACACACUCAUAUCAAAUGUUACUUCUGCUGCAAUGCCAGGACCCCCUACGAUUCUCUCCCUUCUUGCAAACUCACAGAAGCAUGCGAUCAAUCGUGUUAAACUGGCUACCCAGGCUCGUGCUUCUAUCACUACCACCAAAGGUUCUGCUUUUCAUAUGUCCUCUCCAAAGCCCACAUGAAUUAUUGACUUGGGUGCUAUGUAUCACAUGACAUUUGAUCCUGGCCAACUUAUUAGUCGCAAACCAUCCACUCAGUCGGUAGUGUCUAAUGCUAAUGGUAUCCUCUCCCAUGUGGUUGGAGAUGACUCUCUAUCUCUCUCUAACUCCAUACAUAUGGAUUCUGUAUUGAUUGUCCCAUUCUUGGACCAUAACUUGUUGUAUGUUGCACAACUUACUACUACUUUGAGGUGUAUUGUAAUAUUUUGGACAAAUCAUUGUGUUUUUCAGAACAUUCUCACGAGGAAGACGAUUGGUUGUGAUACUAGGUGGGGCAAACUCUACUACUUGGACUAGGCAUCGGAUAGUGAGACCAAGGUUGGUCAAGCUUUCACAACAAGUGGAGCUAGUUCUGAGAGGCAAAGAGACAAAGUUUGGUUAUGGCAUAAAUGUCUUGGGCAUGCCUCAUUUGGUUAUCUAAAGAAGCUGUUUCCAUCAUUAUUUUUCAGUUUUGAUGUUUCUAGCUUCCAGUGUGAUACGUAUGAAUUAGUUAAGAGCCAUCGUGUUCCUUUCCCAUUAAGUACAAAUAAAAGUUUGGUUCCAUUCUUCCUUAUUCAUUAUGAUGUUUGAGGGCUUGCUUAAAUCACUACUCCGGUUGGAGCUUGAUGGUUUGUCACCAUCACUGCGCACGAAUGACUUGGGUUCUCCUUCUCAAAACCAAAGGGGAAGUCAGUUUAACAUUUCAAUAGUUCUAUAAAAUAGUGGCAACUCAGUUUCAUGCCAAAAUCCAGGUUUUCCAUUUUGACGAUGGCGGCAAAUUUCUUAAUUAUAAUCUCAACAAAUUUUUACAAGAUCAUGGCAUCAUACAUCAACGCUCGUGUUCAUAUACUCCCCAACAAAAUGGGGUGGUUGAGCAAAAGAACCAACAUUGAUUGGAAGUCGUUCGUGCAUCUUUAUUUGAUACCAACAUGCCUCGGAAGAACCAACAUGUGAACCCUAAACCCUAACAUGAUCACUUCGCCAAUAAGAGUGAUGGAAAUUUGGAGGAAGCAUUCUUUUUUUUGGGGGGGGAGUGGGGGGGGGGGGGGGGGGGGGGGGGGGCGGCGGGCGCAAAUGUUAGAGACACUUGUCCAUCCAUCCACAUGUGAGCUUUACAUAAUUGUUGGAGGAAGUUGAGAUUUCAUUCCAAAAUUAAUUGGUAAUGGGGCAAGUAGUCCAACUUCACGCAAUUUCUCAACUAUCCAAUGUGAUAUAUAAUCAUGUGAGCUUUACGUAAUUAUUGAAGGAAGUUGCGAUUUCACUCCAAAAUUAAUUAGUAAUGGAGAAAAUAGUUCAACUUCAUACAAUUGAUCAACUAUCCAAUAUGAGACAUUUUCACUACUACAAACAAGUAAACUACUGGCCAGAAGCUGCUACCAAAAUAAAGUGACGAUACGAGAGACUCUGUUUCUGUCUUUUGGUCCGCUCUCCAAAUCAAACAAGCAAACAAAUGGUUUCACUCCAAUACGGCGGGCCUAAAUACAAUAAUUUAAAUCAAAACCAUGUGCCCAUGAGGCAACAAAAAUUCUGUGCUUAUCCAAACUCCAAAAUAUUAAAUUCCACUUUUACCCCUGCCUAGUACAUCAUAUUCCCUGCAUCUGCAUGUACAAAACAGUAAUAUCUCCAAAUAUAGUGUAAAACAUCCACAUACCUUACCAAAAGAAACAGGAGAAAAACAAAACCAGCUCUGGUUUUUCGCCACAAGCCCACCUUUUUUUAUUAGAAAUCCCCUAUAAAAAGAGCACCUCAAGAUCAUUUUAUCCAUCAGUACACUCAAACAUUCACAUUCACAACUGAGAAGUUCAAAGCAUCAAAGAGAGAUCAGUAAGGAAGAGAAAAGAAAUCAUAAUCGUGAUGAGUUCAUCAAGUGCAAGCAAGGCUAUUGUGGCAGCAAGUGUUGGAGUUGUGGAGGCAUUGAAGGACCAAGGGAUAUGCAGAUGGAGCUCUGCUUUAAGAUCUGUGCACCAGCAAGCCAAAACCCAACUCAGGUCAUUUUCUCAGGCCAACAACAAGCUCUCAUCUUCUUCUGCUUCAGCUGCUUUCAGUAAAGUCAAAGAUGAGAAGCUGAAGAAAUCAGAGGAGUCUUUGAGGACAGUCAUGUACUUGAGCUGCUGGGGUCCCAACUAAUUCAAUCAGCACAGAAACAAGCGCAAAAAGAUCACAUUUCUGUUGAGGCUUUGAAAGAUCAAGGCUUCUGCAGAUGGAGUUGCACCACCAUGAGGUCUGUGCACCAGCAUGCCAAGAACAAUAUGAGUUCUUUCUUACAAACCAAGGAACUCUCUUCUUCUUCUUCUUCUGCUAUGGUUUGAACAAAAUGAAUUCUGAAGAGAAGAAUCAAUUAAGAAAAGUCAUGUACUUGAGCUGUUGGGGUCUUUAUUGACACAAAUUGGAGCUCAUGGUGAAGUCCCUCAAGAUUUGAAGAUUUUUGAGACUGAAUUGAAGCUGUGUACAUUAUUUGAAUGUAAAUUUUCCCAAUCAACCAAAAAAACAAGAAAAUUUAUGUUCUUUGGUUUUUAUCAAUGAACAUUGGAUCUAUUAAUUAGACAAUUCUCGACCAGGUUAACCUUAGCUUACUGUAUCAUUGGUACUUAUUUGGAAUUCUAAUUCAAUACAUGUUGGUUUUAUUAAUGGUUCCUCCUUCAAAUAGAGAUGCUUUUGGUUCUAUUUUUCAGUCAAUCAACUAACCAGAUGAGAUUAUCACAAAACAAAAAACAGAGAACAAACCAGUUGAAAUUUAUUAGUUAGGGGCAACAAGAACACACAAGGUUAUCUCAUCCUAUUGAUCAUUGUUUGCAAAAUAAAAAGGCAGACGGUUCAUUUCGAUCAACCAAAACUUUAAAAACUAACUCUUAAUAUAGUGAUGUGAAAACUAACUCUUAAUAUAGUGAUAUUUCACUUAGAAUGAAGAAAGAGAAUCCUCAUUUACUUUACAAAGGGUUAUGAAGCGUUUAACAAAAGGCCUUGUCAUUUGGUCAAGGUCAACACAGUCUUGUUUAGUGGAAAAGAACCAUAAUCUUGUUCAGUGGAAAAGGACCAGAGUCUUGUUUAGUGGAAAAGGUCACUGAACAAGGAUCUGAGUCUUGUUUAGUGGAAAAGGACCAGAGUCUUGUUAGUAUUGUUAAAUGGAAAAAUGACCUGACUUACAGGCUAAUUGUCCCAAUUUCAAACUUCUAUGAUACAGUUGACAAUAUGUGUAGGAGAACACCUCCCUCCGGCAAUAUCACUUAUAUAAAACAAGCCUUAUGAUGUGUUUAAGUCCGGCUCAUAGUUUGUGCAGGCUGGACGAUGGCACAGGGCCCCCAAAUAUUUGAGGCUCCAAUUUUUUUUCUAGCCCACUUCUAAAAGAAACCCAAAAAAACCCUUCAUUUAUCUACAGUUUAAUUUUUUAAAAUAAACCCUUUAUUCCUUUUGACAAUAAGACCAAAGAAAGGAAAAUAGGGAGCCUUUUGACUAAAGAAAACGGGCCCCCCUGUUUUCAAUUUCCUAACCCAACAAUUUUAAGUUUGUUGUAAAGUUUAGAGUGGAGACUAGGGCUGGGCACGGUUCGGUUUGGACCGGUUUCGGGGAAAAAAUAGAACCUGAUCCGAUAGUGCAGACCGGUUCAGUUUGGACCGGUUCUGCUCAACAUCCAUACAGAAAUCCGAACCAAACCAGACCUGUCCGAUUCCGGUUCGGUUCCUGCGGUUCCGGUUUUUUUUUAUUUUAUUAUUUUUUUAUAAUUUAAAAUUUAACAAAUCUGCCCAAAAUGUAUUUAUAUACUAACAUACCCCAAAUUUGAGGUUCCAUCAAGCUUUCAACACAUCAAAAUGAAUCCAACUUCAACAAAAAUACAAUCCAAAUUCAAAUGAAUCCAACUUAAACAAAAAUUCAAUCCAAAUUCAAUCCAACUUCAACAUCAUCAAAAUGAAUCCAACUUCAACAAAAAUACAAUCCAAAUUCAAAUGAAUCCAACUUCAACAAAAAUUCAAUCCAACUUCAACAUCAUCAAAAUGAAUCCAACUUCAACAAAAAUACAAUCCAAAUUCAAUCCAACUUCAACAUAUAAAUUACAACCCAAAUUAAAUCAAACUUCAACAAAAUAAGUUCCAAAAUAAAUUACUAGCCAAAUACAACCCAAAUUCAACCAAAUAUACAUUACAACCCAAAUUAAAUUCCUCCUAACAUUGGAAAGUAGUUGGAGCUAUGGUGCUAGGUGUGGAUGAACUCAUAAUAUCUACAUAAAAAAAAUCAAAGGAUCAACAUACUCACAUUAACACUUUGAUUUACAACCCACUUCCACUUGUUGGGUUUGUUAAACCAAUAUAUCCAUUUCUUAGGACAAUUCUAUCUCUUAGGAAAGCCUCUGAUCAUGAUUCUGCUCUGGACUAAUAAAAAAAAUCAAAGACUUCCAUUAAAAACAGAAACUUCAGUUUUGUUAAACAAUUUAGGCAGGAACACUUUGCCUUUGGGAAAUCAUUAAAAAUCCAUUUUGAUUCAAAAUGGUGUGAACAUUUCCAGAUCACACGUAGACAUAUAAAACUUCAACAUAUCAAAAGUUCAUCGAAUUCCGAGUUAAGGAAGCCAGUCAAAGACUAAAUCCAAAAUAGACUAGGCUGCAGAGUUUUCUAUUUUCUGCAGAAUAAUGCCAACUUCGAAAAUUUGCCAAAUUGAAUUGGAUUAGUACAAUUGUAAAAAAUAAACAAUUGCAUUAAUAAAUUUGCCAAAUAAAUCUACUAAAUUAUAAACUGUUUCCAAACCAAAGAGUACAUUAAGUCUUGCAGUAAAAAAAGUCUGGUAGAGUUGUAUAUAUCAAUGUCAUGUAUAUGUAGGAAAAGGAAAUUACCUAAUUUCUCAGUGUGGCGAACAUCAUCAACCAGCAAAACUCUGUAACUAUCCCUACUCCCAAUACCUCUCUUGUCCUUGAGUCGUCCAAUAUCUCCUCCUGUAAUUUCAACAUUAAAUAAGGCAGAAGAAUAGUACAGUACAAUGCUACAUUGCAAUUGGGUUUUCUAAUAUGUUUUUCUCCCCCUUUUCAUAACAAAUCUCAACUAUUGAAUACAAAACAAAAAUCCCAGAUGAGAAAAAUCAAGACAGUUGAAGGAUAAAUGAUAAAGUAGGUACCUUGUUCAAGCUGGGUAGCAGGGUCAAAUUGGGAUUGGUCAAACUUUGGGCGCUCCAAGACCCCAGCACCACCCUUGGAAGACCUAAACCUGGCCUUCACAGCCAUGCCAGAGAGAGUCAGAAAAUUGAAUUGGGGAAAGAAAAAAAAAAGGAGAGAGAUAGAGAGAGAAUCUGACCUGCAAUGCAACGACUGAGAGGCUAAGAGAAGAGCGGCGGCAGAGAGGGGUGUGACUGUGACGUGCUGGUUGAGAGAGAGGUUUGGAAUCGGUGGCUGGUGGCUGGCUGGCGGCUGGCUGAGUGAGUAUGAAACUAAAUGGGAAGGAGAGGAAAGAACGAAGAAUGAAAAAACCCAAUCUGAAUUUGGUGUAAUCCUGUGUGUGCGCUACCUAUGGUAGCAGCAUACACAACCAAUCAAAAUUUGACAGGUAUGAAAAUAUAUAUAAUUUCAAAUAUAAAUAUAUAUAAUAUUUAAAAAAUAUAUAAAUUAAUUCUAUUGGACCGGUUCGGAUUGGACCGGUUCCUUAGGAUGGAAAACCGGAACCGGAACCGGUCUGAACCGGUUCGGUUUGGAUUUUUCUCGAUUUUUGACUUUUUUGGUCAACACGGUUUUUUUCGGUUUUUUCCGGAUUGGUUUGGUUCGGUUUUGCGGUUUUGCGGUUCAAAUGCCCACCCCUAGUGGAGACCACAUAUUUAGAAAAAAUGAAGCAUGUCAUGAUGAAGGUGUUGAAGAAUUGGAUCCACAUAUUAGAAGGAAUGAUUACAUAUCCAUGUGAAGUUAUCAACUUUGCCUGUAAACGGGCUUCAUCCUUCCCUUGCAUGAGACUACAAUUAGAGAAGGAAGAGAGAGAGCUCGGAGAGAAAGAAGAGAAGGAAAGAAAGAGGGUGAGUGAGCGGAGAGAAAAAUGAGAGCAGUGAGAAAUUCUCCAAGAGAGAAAAAAAUCAGUGAGCCACAUAUAUUGUAAAUAUUAAAGUUGUAACCCUAUUAUUUGAUAUAGUGGAAAAGUUAUAACUGCUGCUCUUCGAGGACGUAGACAAGGCCGAACCUCGUUAAAUGUUGUGUCUCAUCUACUUUACUUUAUCUCACAUAUUCCAGUUAUUUAAUAACAAAGUUGGAUGUUUUAUGCAAGCUUUGGAAUUUGAAGGCAUGAUUAUAAGAAAUUUAUAAAAUCAGGUGAAUUCCUAAUUUUUUUUAAUUUUUUAUCUAAUGUGAAUGAAUUUUGUACUUUAAAUUAUGACUUUUAGAUUUACCCUUAAAUUUUUCCCUUAAAAAUCCACUAUGAAUGAGAAAAUAAUAUUGUUUUGUUCAUAACUUUGUCAUUAACAUUUUUUCUUCUAUGAGAAUAUCAUAACAUUUUGUACUUGUAUAUAAAAGGCCUCAAUAUCACUCGUUAUACAGAGCCUCCAAAAUCAAUAAACCGCCGGGAUGUAUUUCUUACUAAUUGAUACUCAACCGAUGUGCAUCUACCUGUGACAAUCAUGUGACUGUUCUGUCGUUUGGCCCACACUCCAAAUUAAACAGGCAAACAAAUGGUUUGACUCCCACACCGCAGGCUAAAAUACAAUAAUUCAAAUCAAAACCAUGACCCAUGAGGCAGCAAAACGUUGUGCUUAUCUGAAUAUCCCAAUCCAUCUGCACGUACACAACAGUGAUAUCCCAAUCCAGACAUACUUCUGGAAACAGAAGAAAACAAAACCAGCUCUGUUUUUUUGGUUACAAGCACACCGUUUUUUCUUUUUAUAAUCUCGUAUAUAAAGAGAGAGUAAAAUUUUCGAAACAAUACCCUUAUUUCCAUGUCUUCCAGCUACUUUAUCACCUACUUUGAUUUCACGUUACUCAUUAUCAUCUUCUCCAUCAAUAAUACACUCAAAACAUUCACAUUCACAGCUGAGGAGUUCAAAAGAUUUAAGAGAGAAAUAGUAGAGAGGAGAAAAGAAAUCAUAAUCAUGAUGUCAAGUACAAGUGUUGGAGUGGAGGCAUUGAAGGAUCAAGGGAUAUGCAGAUGGAACUCUGCUCUAAGAUCUGUGCACCAACAAGCCAAAACCCAACUCAGGUCAUUUUCUCAGCUCUCAUCUUCUUCUGCUUCAGCUGCUUUCAGUACAGCCGGAGACGAAAAGCUGAAGAAAUCAGAGGAGUCUUUGAGGACAGUCAUGUACUUGAGUUGCUGGGGUCCCAACUAAUUCAAUCAGCACAGAGACAAGAGCAAAGAUAUCAGAUUUUUGUGCAACCGGUUGCUGAACUGGAGCUUGGGCAUGAACAGAAGGAUGAAACAAGAUGACACAACCCAUGAAAGGGCUCCUGGAGUUUUAUAUAUAUCAAAUGAUCAGGAUAUAUAAACUUGUUGGGGUUACAUACUGGCAAGCAAUCGUUGUAAAUGGCAGAUAAUUCAUUCAUGUCUGCUUGCUUGCUUGGGACAAAUUUAUGUAAAUUAUGUUAUGACAAUUACCUAUAAAUUUGAGUAUUUAGCAGUGAAACAUAAUUGAGUUGCCCUAAUUGGGUAAAAUCCAUUGUCUUGAAUGGUUUCUUUCUCCAACAAAAGCUAUAGCCCAACACAUCCCAUGGUUUUUCCCACAUUUUUAUGGGUUUCCUUCCUCCUACAUUCAUCUCUGCUUUGGUUUCAAGUAAGCUCAGCUGCUGGGGUCCCGAUUGAAUAUUAAUUCAACCUUGUUUAUUUACAAAAUGACUGUGAAUUGUAUAUCCCUGAAUUCUCUAUGAUAUAUACAAUUGAUUAUUCUAUGCACCAGCAACUUAAACAUUAAUCAAGCUACUGUGGUUUUGGUCAGAACGAAAACAUUAAUUUUUAGUGUAAAAAGGUUUUAUGCCUACACACAUUUCAUAUUAAAUUGAGUGUUGAUGGUGCUCUCAAAAAUGGUGGCAGGUGCCGUAGGUACCUUCCUUUUUAUAUUUUUGUUCACCACUCUUAAUUGACGGUGAGCAAACCCAUCACGUUUAUUGUCGUGGAGGAAAUUCAUGUAAUAUGUAGAUUAAAUCAUAUUCAUCAAACAUGUAAUAUAUAGAUUAAAUUAUACUCAUUAAACAAUAAUUAACCUAAUUAUAAUGCUCACUAUUUCUUUAAUGACAUGUCAACACAUAGUAGACUCACGCCUAUAAUUAGCCAAAGCAAAUAGAGAGAAAGAAAGACACUAUUGUUAUACAACUAAAAUAAUCAGAGAGUAUGAGAAGUACCACUAAAUAUUGGGAGUAUAUUGGGAGUGGAAUUAUAUUUGCUCUUUGUGGUGUUUACACUGACAGAAUUUCUUCUCAGAUAGAACUCAUUCUCUCUUUUCUUCUCUGACUCUGACUCUCUUCUCUUCUAAUUGGUUGUGUAUUUUACAACUUAAAAGGAAGCCUAUUUAUAGGCAAUUAGAAUGGCCUCCCGUGGAUGCAUCUUCAACAUUUUCUCUCAACAUCAUCAUUCAUCCCAACAUCAUAAUUUCAUCUUUUGACUAAUACUCCCUUACUUUAUUCAUGUGGCCUUCACUUCUUACUUUAUAACAACUAUAAUGUUUGUUUUUCUGCCCACGGUCCACACCAAACCAAGUAAACAAAUAGUUCCACUCCUACACUGCGAGCCUAAAUACAUAUAAGUUUGCACAUAAUUUUGGGUUUCAAGACAUUGUGUUGGAAAUAGACGCGCAAGGGACAGUAGAUAAAAUCAAUUCUGACAAAGAGUUUUUUGAAGCAGAAGGAAACUUGGUGGAAGAUUAAAGAUGCGGUUGUAGUUUAGAUCUUUCUCGUGUGAAUGGCAAUGACGUGACAAUAAUGCAGUUGCUCAUGAGCUAGCCCAAUAUGCUAUUAGGAACACUGGUUUUUAUACAUGAAUUGAGGAGGAGCCUCCUUGAUUGAGUUCUUUACUUGCUGCAGAUUUAAAAGCAACUUGUUGAUUUAUGUAUUCAAUGUCAACUGGGAGGCGCUUUUUUUCUUGUGGCGAAUUUUCCUCCUUUUUGGGAGUUUUUUAGGCCAAAUAUUUUUGUACAGAGGCUCAAACUUGUACAUCCCUUUCCUUCUUUUUGUUGUAUUAUGUUGGUUGGUUAUUGAAUGAAGUCCAGUUAUCUCAAUGUAAAGAAAAAAGGGCAAAAAAAGAAAGCAAAGCAAAACCAUAUGCCCACGUGGCAGCAAAAUGUUGUGCUUGUCCAAAUUCUGAAAUCCCACUUCUACCCAUGUUUAAUUGAUCAUUUCUACUGCAUCUGGAUGUCCAGUUGAGUAAUAUCUGAACUCAUAGUGCAUCAUCCACAAGGUCCAAAAGAAACAAAAACCAUUGGCUUUUCUAUCCCAAAGAAAAAAGACCCAUUUGCUUUCACUGAGGAAACCGCCUCUAGUUUUUGGGGACGGACAAAAAAGCACACCGUUUCUAAUCCCCUAUAUAAAGAAGCACUCUUUGCUCAUCUACUUCAUCGGACACUUACACAUUCACAUACCAACUGAAGAGUUCAAAAAAAUCAAAGACAGAAAAAUCUAGUAGAUAAGAGAAGAUAAGAGAAAUCAUAAUCACGAUGAGUUCAUCAAGUGCAAGCAAGGCUAUUGUGGCAGCAAGUGUUGGAGUUGUGGAGGCACUGAAGGACCAAGGGAUCUGCAGAUGGAACUCUGCUUUAAGAUCUGUGCACCAACAAGCCAAAACCCAACUCAGGUCAUUUUCUCAUGCCAACAACAAGCUCUCAUCUUCUUCUGCCUCAGCUGCUUUGGGUAAAGUCAGAGAUGAAAAGCUGAAGAAAUCAGAGGAGUCUUUGAGGACAGUCAUGUACUUGAGCUGCUGGGGUCCCAACUAAUUCAAUCAACACAAAAACAAGAGCAAAAAUAUGACAUUUUUGUGCAAGCGGUUGCUGAAAUGGAGCUUGAGCUUGAACAAGGGAUGAAACAAGAUGACAACCCAUGAAGAGCUCCACCAAAUGAGGACAUAGUUAGAUAUUGGCAAUCGUUUUGUGCUUGUAAAUGGCAGACAAUUCACGUCUGCUUGGGGCAAAUUGAUGUAAAUUAUGUCAUAUUAAGACAAUUACCAUAUAAAACAUGUAUGUUUCUGAGAAUUGCUGCCUCGAUCAUUAUUUUGGUCUCUGUUUUUUUGUGUAUAUAUUUUGCCCAUUGUUUAUUUUGUCAUGAGUAGAAGAUUUAUCAACCCUACAGGUCUGAGUUGAAUUUGUUUAAUUUCAAAACAGUAUAUUUGAAGAAGGAAACGUUUUAUGGAAUUAGAAACAUCCCAAUCUGAAACUAGGACAGAAGAUUAGCCAUGAUGGCUCAGCCAAUACAUCUCAUGCUCUAUUGGAAAGGAAAAUACUUACUUCCCUUCCCUCCUACAGGUAAGGAUACAGCUACAGGUAAGGAUACAGGUAAUGAGUCAAAUGAGGCAAGUAGAAUCCUAUUGGAAAUAUGAAUUUAGAAUAUAAUAAUAUCAAUAUAGUAAUGGAUCUCCAAACCCAACUAUUUUCACCAGUAGUUUCCAAGAAGCAUUCUCCUUCUUAAAUAUUUCUUAACUCAAACCAAUUGGAGUGUCUCCAAAAAAAAAAAAAAAAAAGAAGAAGAAGAUAAUUUCCACUAGAAAACAAACAAAAACAAGUGGUCUUUCCUCCCAUACCUGAGGCUUAAAUGGAUUUUAUGAAGGAAAACCGUGUGCUGUGGUCCUACCCAACCCAAUUUUGUCUCCGUCAAUGAAUGUGACAAAUAGUUGACAGGAAAAAAAAUGAACGUGACCAAGUAGCCCAAUCUUGACUCACCGCUGAGGAAAAACCACUGGCUACCCCAGCAAAAACCUCUACAGCUAGAGCUAGCCCAUGGCUUUUUUUUCCCCACAUUUUAUGGGGCUUAGUUUUAGUGUCACUCUCCCUCCAUAUAAAAGCAACACCAACUCCCCAUUUACUUCAUCAAAAUUCAAACACAUCAAAACAUCAGUUUUACUUCCCAUCAAGUUUAAGAGUGUUCUUAUUAAGUUUACAGAAGAAGAUAUCAAUAUGAGCAGUUCAUCAUCACCAGCAGCAAGGAGAGGUUGGGUGGUGGCAGCAAGUGUUGGAGUUGUGGAGGCCUUGAAAGACCAAGGGAUCUGCAGGUGGAAUUAUACUAUGAGAUUAAUGCAGCAGCAUGCAAAGAGCCAACUUGGGUCUUUUUCUCAGGCUAACAAGCUCUCUUCCUCAUCCUCUGCUCUGGUUUCAAGCAAGCUUAGAGAUGAGAAGGUGAAGCAGUCUGAAGAGUCUCUCAGGAAAGUCAUGUACCUCAGCUGCUGGGGACCCAAUUGAUUUCAGCAACUACAUAAUUUGUAGCUGAAGAACAUGAUCAAUACAAUUUGGCACUGAAGGCAGGCUUGGAUUACAAAUUUUCAAGUUUUGAGGCAUGGGAUGAUGAUAGCUGGAAACAUGUGGUUAAGUUGACCAUGGUUGGUGUAGGAUUUGCAGCCUGAAGAAAUUUUGUUUGUUUACAAAAUUAUUGUAAAUUGUAAAUGUCUGAGUUCUCUAUGAUAUAUACAAUUAGUAUGAAAAUUGAUAUGUCAUCUGAUCAUUAGCCCUAACCAUUAAAAUCUAUAUCAUGUAUGGUCUGUUAAGGAAGGGAAGGGGUUUAAAUCAAAUUUUCUAUGCAGAUCCUACCAUUAUUUAGUACCAACUAGUAAAUAAUUUCGUCCAUAGCCAGAGAAAAUAGCGAAUGCAAUAAUGUACAUAGUUAGUAAAUAAAUCCUGAACUAUUUAAUUUUUAUAAAUAAAUUCAAAAAAUAUUUAAACAAUUAUGUUUUGUCGAGUGUUUUGGGUUUUUUUUUUAUGAGGUUUCGGAUUUGGUUUGUUUUAAGAAACAAAGGCAGUUUUGUAAUUUAUAGUAAGUUCAAAGCUUCUUUGUUAUAUUGUAAAUGGGUUUUCGGUGUGUUUCUAAAAUUCAUUUCAUGUAGUUUUUUUUAAUAGUUUGAGCUCCUAUAUUGGACAUAACAAUGAAUCCCCACCUUUUUUUUUUUUUAAUUAACUGGAAUGAUGACAAAUGCUUUAAAAGCAUAUAUUCUGUGGCCUUAAAAGCAUUAUUAUUUUGAAGAAACAAGGUGCGCACAAUGUCUUGUGUACCCCAGCAGAAAAGUUCAAACCAGAAAAUCCACUGGAUUUCCUUGGCUCAAAACCAGCAGCAACUGACGUAGUAGCCUCUGGUUUUUUCCCAAUAUUUUGGCCUUUUCUUUUUCUCAAUCAUGUAUCCAACUCAAGUCACUUAUUAUUUCCUUUCUAUAUAAAGAGACCCUCCAUGCCAAUUAUUUCAACUCAACCUUUCUCAAAAUUUGUUCUCUUGCAAAAGACCUAUCUUAUCAUAAUUUCAAUACAAAUUAAGGGGCUUACAUCCCAAGAAAAAGGAAAAUCAAGAUGAUGAGUGCAGCAACAGCAAGUAGGGCUUGGGUUGUGGCAGCCACAGUUGGAGUUGUGGAAGUGUUGAAAGACCAAGGGUUGUGCAGAUGGAACUAUCCCAUGAGACUGGUGCACCAGCAAGCCAAGAACCAUCUCAGGUCUUUUUCUCAGGCCAAGAAGCUGUCUUCUUCUUCUUCUGCCAUGGCUUCAAGCAUGAUCAUGAGAGAAGAGAAAAUAAAGCAGUCAGAGGAGUCUAUGAGGAAAGUGAUGUAUCUUAACUCUUGGGGUCCCAACUGACACCAACCAAAUUAAGCUUAGCUUAGCUUAAGGCCAUUGUAAAUUACUUUAAGGCAAAUGCUCUUACAAAUUUGGUAAAAUACAUUGGGCACUUAUGUUUUCCAAAUUCAGUUUUUCUUCUUGCUUGACUAAAGUGUUUAAUUUGGCACAGCUUCUUGGCCUUGGCCUAAUCCGAUCAUAAGAACAACACAACUUUAUUACUAAAUUAUUCACCCAAAGGAAAACUGAAACAAACUUUUCCCCAAAAAUUCUGGGCUGAAAAGAACAAAAUAGCCGCUGGUAUGGCCAAAAACCACAACCCCAGUGAAACCACCUCCACUCUCAUCACCCCCUUAGCUCUCUCUCUCUCUCUGCAUAUUUAUGGCUUCAGUUAGAUAGUCUCGAUGCUUAUAUAUGUCUAUCUCAAUACUCUCUCCAACUUACUGUAACAAAUUCUACUUUGUUCUUUAAAUUACUGGUAGUGGCCAUCAUUCAAAAGUUAAAAAAUGAGGUGGAAGAGCAAGGCUUGGGCUGUUUUGGGCACUGUUGUAGCUGUGGAGGAGUUGAAAGAAAAGAAUCUAAGCAAAUGGAGAUCCCUGCAGAGUUACCAACAUGCACUAAUUAACAACAUUGUGCCACUGUCUACACAAGUGGGAAAAUCUUCAUCUACAUCUUCAACAAUGGAGUCAAAGAAGAAAUAUUGCAAGCAGGGGACUCUGAAUCUGAAGCAAUCAGAAGAACCACUUAGACUAAUUAUGUACUUGAGCUGUUGGGGACCCAACUGAGCUGGAAAGAUAUGCUGCAUGCCCCUCCAUGUUUAUGAAAUCAUUACUAAGCAUUAUGUAUGUUUGUGUGUGUAUUUCAAGAUGUACACAUCCUGAUCUAUAAUCUUAUUAUCAUCAUAUCUUUGUAAGAACUUGUUCUAAAAAAAGAGGAAAUAAAAACUCUAUGCUUUUACUCUUAGGCCGUGUUUGGUGGGUUGAAUUAUAUGACAGAAUAUGAUUCAUAAUCUAGUAAAAUGUUUCCUAGACUAAAAACAAUCGAAUUGAAUUAUGUCCAAUCAAUUACUAUCCUGAAAUUAGAGCAUAUAAUUCAGUAGCUACUGUCAUAUGGUAGUGCUCUAAUCUCCAAGCAAUAAGCUCUUGGGUCCAUCAACUUAUUCUAGACUGUGGAACAAGAUACAAGGAACAGAAAGCAACUUUACGCAAAAGCUGUUUGAUUAUACCAUAGCAAGUUAGCAACUGUUGUUAUUGCCCCCAAAUCAAAUGAAAAAUGGUAUAUGUCAUUGUGUACGAAACAUGAUUUCAUUGAUUUGGGAUAUUGGAAAAGAUGAGAUGCCUUUCACAAGAGGGCCACAUGGGAGCAUCAGUGGUGGGUUUUCUGUGUCGUUAUCUUUCAUGGCACCACCAGAACAUGUUCUAAUGCUCUAAACAUCAUAGCCUAUUUUAAUUAUGAUGGCCUUAUGCCAUGCUCUCCUCUUUAAGCCUUUAUCAGAAUAAAAAUACAAGAAAGAAAAAAGGAAUCAUAAGAAGAUUUGAAAGAGAACUUUGAUUUGGUGCAAGUGUUAUCCGAAGCAAUAGUUCUUCCACCAAUGGGUAGCUAUAUUGUUGCUAUCUGUCAUUUUCUUUUGUUGUAAACCACUAUCAAGCUGUUAAUUAUUGUAAACCACUAAUCUACAGGAAGGGAUCCAGGUGAAAGGGGCGAGCUCACUAUUCUGGCCGACUAACCUAAUUCACGUCGAUUUUGUAGAUCUCUUUUAACGUUGAGAAUAAAAAUAUUAAUAGAUUAAGGGUUAAUUAGUCUAAAAUCCCGUAUUAUGUUUUUUUUUUUUUUUUGGGGGUCAAGAUAUAGUGCCAAUAUUUAGCCCAAAAGUUUCAAACUUGAAGCUCUCCUACCAACUGCCAGCCAACAUCAACAGGGAGAAUGAGUAAAAGUAACCACCGCCAAUUCCGACAAUCCAAAAAGUCCAGAGCGAAAGGUCUCAUUCAGCCGCAUAUGGCAUUGGCUAUCAUAAAGACCUUUCACAACCAGAGACACAACUAAAACACGCAUUGCACCAAAGCCUCAAUCUUUCAGCUUCAGCCUUCAAUUCGCACAAAACAAAAUCUCUCUUUUCACUUUUUUUCCAACUAUCUCCGGCGAAACCCAUUUUCCGGCUGCCACCGUGAAGCGAAUUUCCGGCGGGUGGGUCGAGAAUGGCUGUGGAAGCUGAGAAAUCUGGGCCUGAUGGGAAGCUGUGGAGUCUAUUCAAAAAUCCAUUUGGGCAGUCGAGAAAUGCCUCUUCCUCUUCUUCUUCUUCGUCGUCUUCGACCUUGUCUUCUAUGCACAAUGUUCAUCAGCUGGGUCAGACUCAUGAGUCUGUGGAGCGUGCGGCUCUUCAUUCUGCCAGUACGGUGUCGUAUGUGACCAAGUCUUUGCUUCCUGCUAGGAGGAGGCUCCGUCUUGAUCCUGCUAAUAAGCUCUUUUUUCCAUGUACGCCCCUUACCUUGUCUGCUUUAAUCAUCUUUGUUGUUUGUAUAAUGGUUUUGAUUUUGGUCAUCUAUUUCAUUUUCUGAGAAUUUUGAAGGUAAAGAGUGGAACUUUUGUUUCUUUUGGGGUGAGUAAUUAGUUGCAUGAUGUCUGUUUUUGAGCUUACACUGGUUUCAUUUGCCAAAUGGUUAUCUGGGUCUUCGACAUUUAGUACAUAGAGCUGCAUUCUUUGUUCUUUGAUUUGCUUAAGUUGCAUGAUCUUUUGAUUUCAUGAGUUAAAGACUUACAGUUGUUCCAAUUGUUAUGCUGAUCUGGUCGGUUCUUAUUGGUGUCUCUAUUUCUGAUAUUCUCUUUCUUUAGUUUGUUUCUGUUGCAUGAUGCAUCCAUUUGUCCAGUGUGGAGUGGUUUGAUUGAUCCUAAUAUGGGUUGUUCUUACAUUGUUAGCAUCACCCUGGAUUUCUUAUAAGAUGUUCACUCAGAUAAUAUUUGCUAAUCAUUAGAAAAGUGUAAUGCUUGCUCAAUUCCUUUGCCGAUUGAUGAUUCAAGCUAGUUAUGUUUUUCCUCACUCUCUGACUGUUUUCUCUGAAGAUGAACCUGGUAAGCAGGUGAAGAGUGCCAUUGGAAUUAAAAACACAAGCAAGUCUCAUGUAGCUUUCAAGGUAUCGAUUGACUCCUCGAGUCCCCUUUUUUGUUUUCCCCCUUAUUAAGUAUUUUACUUCUUUUACAUAUCAGAAACUAGUCAUAAACCAGUAUUGUGAUCAAAUUGGGACAACAUUUGAAUUGAAAAUUGGGGAUGACAGCAUUAGGAGUUUUCUGGUGUCAAUUUGAUCUGUUACGCUUAUUUCCCAACAGAACCAUCUAACUGCUUACAUGUUGGUUGUUUUUUUUUUGUUUAGUUCCAAACAACUGCACCAAAGAGUUGUUACAUGCGUCCUCCAGGGGGAAUACUUUCUCCGGGUGAAAGUCUUAUUGCAACUGGUAAUUCAUUCUUCAUGGUCUUCCCUCACGCACUCUUAUAGUCAUUUUUGGGUUAUUUUUCAUUUCCAUUUGCAAUAAAUAACAUGCUAGCUAUUUAGAUUUUAGUGAGUUAUCGUCUGAAAAUUGUAACUUGAUUGACAGUCUUCAAGUUUGUGGAACCUCCGGAGACCAAUGAAAAACUAGUAGACCAGAAGAGCAGGGUUAAGUUCAAGAUCAUGAGCUUGAAAGUGAAAGGAGAUAUGGACUACGUACCAGAACUGGUAUAAUUGCAGAUAUUUUGUAUAACUUCUACCGUAUCUUAAUACAUUGCUUUUCCACGAUAAUAGUUUUUUUUUAUUUUUCUAUGUAAAUGGAACCAAUAACUACUGGACUUUUACAUUCCCUCAAAAUAAGCAGAGAUAUUGUAAGUAGAAUUGAGAUAGCAGAACUGAGGUCAUUUUCUCUGUUAUCUGUAGCCUGCUGUGCCAAUAUAAUUAGUAAGUGAACGUUCAGAUGUCAUGUACUUCAUAGCAAAUGUUUGCAGAAAUUCUAAUUGGAACUUUCCUAUAAUUAGAACAUAUAUCUUCUACUCUGAAUCAGGUUGAUCUUACUAUAAAUCUCAUUGAUUCUUGAAAAGUUAUGUAUAUUUUUGUUUCUAUCACAAAUAGAAACCAGUAUGCAUCAUAAUUCCUAGAUAUUAAACAUUAACUGUUACAUGCAUUUAUGCAGUUUGAUGAGCAGAAGGACCAAGUUGUGGUUGAGCAGGUUUUGCGUGUUGUUUUCCUGGAUCCUGAACGCCCUACCCUUGUAAGUAGAUGGUGGAUACAUCUCUAACCUGUCAUUUUCCUGCCCUCUGCAUACUUUUUUUUAUUGUCUUAAUUUGGCCGCAGCAUUUUCACUUUCAAUUUGAUUUUUGUAAAGGCGAUGGAAAAACUUAAGCGGCAAUUGGCUGAGGCUGAGGCUGCCCUCGAAGCACGAAAGAAGCCUCCAGAAGAAACAGGGCCCCGAAUUGUAGGGGAAGGACUUGUCAUAGAUGAAUGGGUGAGGUGUUUGACAUGUUUUUGUUUCUUUUGAUAGAAUGAUGAUAUUGAGCUUUAUACAUUUCUUACUGUAAACAUUCUUACUUGUGGUAUGUAUGGUUUCCUUUGUAGAAAGAGCGCAGGGAAAGGUACCUAGCCCAGCAGCAGGUUGAAGGUGUUGAUUCGGUGUAGAGUUAUGUUCCUUUUUGUUUAGAUCAUUUCUUUCUCUAGUGUGGAAGUUUCUAUAUAUGAUUGAAUUGUCGCCUAUUCAUGUGUGGAAGACCGUUGAGCAAUCUUAAAGGUAAAUGGAAUGGAAGCAUGUUUCGUUGUGGAUAGAUGUUACAUUUUUGUUUCUUGUUUUGUUUAAUUUUUGCUUUGUCCUUUUUAUGAGAAAAAUUAGUCUGAAGUUCUGCUUCAGGUCUCCUAAUGUACUUGUAGAUAGCAUAAAUGACAAUAGUGAUUUUUUACAGAACUUAUAAUCUCUGUUCUAGCUGGCUGUUUUGGCUCACUUCUCUCUUGAGAUAUCCAACACAAACACCUCUCCAUACGGCUAAUUUACUUACCAUAAGUUUUCUUCAUGAAUUUUGUGUUCUUGUAGAAAUGUUUGAUGCAGUUUGGGUUGUUUUCUCACAUAGAAUGGAAUGGGGUUAUUCAAAGUUUUGAGAAGUUCGAUCGCUUAUCAAAUUUCAUCAGGCAUGCAGUAAUCAGGUUUUUUUAACAUUUGCAACUCCAAUAAUGAGAACUCUGAAGAAGUGGCAAGUUGUCAAAGGAACACGGUGAUAGUACUUAAAUUUCAAUAAUUUAAUUGAAUGGUCAAAUAAUAUCGGAUUGAAGUGAUUUUUUGUAGAAAUGAUCUUUGAAUGAAUAUCUACAAAAUAGACGGUUUGGAUUAGUGAAAUACUAUGCAGAGUGGGUCCUACAAGGGUAUUUCUCACAUAAGCUUAUUUGAAAAAUCCCUCAACGGAAGCUCUAUAUAUAUAUAUAUCCCCCUUUUCUUUGGUGAGUAUUACAAUUAUUUGCUCCAUGGAAGUGAUUAUAUGGAUUAUGGGUAAGUAGGCAGGUACAUAACAACUCUGCUGCCAUGCUGGCUUACACUUUACGGAGCAUGAUCUCUGUGUGUGUUUUGUCUGAAAGGAUCCUGAAUCAGAUUACUACAACUAUUAUUUGGUAUUAUUCAGAGUUGACAGCUUCAAACUGAGUUGAGAUGUCAAGAAUCUUGCUCCAUUUCUUAAUUAUGUAGAAUAAUGGAAACUGGAUUGAGAUCUGAGUAUAAUACUUAUUUUAUGGUCCACUAACAAUAAAUUAACAUGUUAACCAAAACUUAUCCAUCAAAUUAUAUGAAGAUAAAUAUUGGGGAACCUUGGCCAGGGCUUUUUAUACUGUGACAUCCAAUGGAAACACCAUUUCUUGGUAGCAGUAUAUUUGCUUAGCUUUUUGUCUGCACGUCUAUGAUCUUUGAGAUAUAAACAAAGAAAGAGAUUUAUAUUUCAGGCAUAAAGAAUAUGUGUGCAGUUACUCUAAUAAAAAAAUAUUAUAUGAUGUUGUGGAGAAUAAAGAGAAGAUCUUAUCAACUACUUUGUCAAUGCAUUGGAAUACAAGCCAAUGACACUGGAUGGAUACAGCUGCCUGUAAUUAUAAAUUAAUUUCCAACUAGGUCUAGUACAAUAGAAAAAUAACUUUAAUUUGCAUCUUAUAAGUCUUAUGUUCGAAUUCUCGUAACGUUUUAAUUGUAUGUAUAAGAAACCUUUAUUUCCUGUAAUUUAGACUGUAACUUGUAUUUAAAAAAAAAUCUCCAACCAAGUCGUAAUCCCACUUUUAUAAUAUAAUUAAUAAAAGAAUUGGAUAAAUACCUGCCUGUCUGUAAUUUCAAAUUAAAAAAGUAACACUAUCUACGCUCUUUAACCCUUUUUUGGAAGAUCUUUAAGUUCCGAUCCUACUGAAAUUUGUUUAUUAAUUCUUGCUAAAGCGUAAAUUAUGAAACCCACAGAGAAUUAAAAAUCCAUAAUCAGCAUUAGUGGAUUCGAGCCUUACUGUUUUGGUAUGCUGCACAUCGCCAUCUCAGAUUCUCAGUGUAAAAUAAAAUCUAUCACGGAAGUUCAAACAUACGAUACCAUAUGGUUUUUUAAUUUUUGUUUUUAGAUUCUCAUUUUUUUGGCUGAAGUCUGAAAGCGAUUAUUAUAAAAGCACUAUUUCUAUAUGUUCCGUUCCAGCUCUUACCCCCACUCUCUCUCUCUCUGAUAAUGACCCGGGCAUACUAUUAUUGCAACUACAAUUAUUAUGUUCAUGAAAGCUGAUAGGUGGGUGGACCUCUCCCUGUGAAGGCGACCCAUUUGCUAUAGUGAUAAGAAUAAACAAAUAUCCAUUGGCCUAUGGAUAUGAGGCAAGUUUACAUUUUGAUCCCCAAUCAUUGUAUGAAAUCAUCCUGGUUUAUACAAUCCUUGCAAAAACCCUAUAUCCAGCAACAACUUACAUUCUGGAAGAGUUUUUUCAAUGGAUCACAAGGGUUAUGUUCUCUUCAUCCUAAUAUAUGUUCUUAUAUUAUUAUUAAGCUCGUAUGUUAGAUUAGAUUUUGAUUUUAAUCUUUCGAUUUCGUAUAUCAUUCACGUAUAAUGUAUUUACGAAUACCCUUAAAAUAGCAUAUCAACGUGAAUAAUAGGCCUAAAUUAAAACCGUAAUCUAACAUCAAGGUUUUAAAAAGAUGAAAAUUUUAUAUAUUUUGUUAUUGACAAGCUUGGAGGAUGAUAUGAUACCCUAUAUUUUGAAACUUGAGAUGACGAUGCCGUACAAAACUGAAUUGGUAUGCUACAUCAGCGUGAUGUACACCGUACAAGGUACAACAAAAACCGUCUUGGAUUCAUAUGAAGAAAUAUGAAUUAUGGAAAUGUUGUCGGCCUAGUUUCAAUCAAAAGAAUAAAAAGGGUAGCCGUUCGAUUCCGUAAUUGCAUCCAAUCUCAUCCGUCGAAAAUGGUAUAAAGCUAAAUACUAGCUAGAAACAAAACAUAAUUAGUUUAUUAUUCAUUUUAAUUUGUAACGCCGAAGACGAAGGAUAAAUAGAAGAAGAGUCCAGAGCCCGCUGCAGGGGACCCCACAGCAGCACGUGAUGCCCAUGCCUGCCCCACCCGAUGGCGCCAAAACGCAUAAAAGAGGCCCAACCCGCUCACGUGUCCCUCUCCCUCCUCCAUAUCAAAUCAUUUUCCCAUCACUAUCGAAAAGACAAAAUUGCCCCUGAGGCGACAACUUACUAUUAUACGACGAUAAGUCGUGGUAGACGACGACGUGUGGGCAGGCCGGCCCCAUGCUGAAGAGGACAUAUGCGUACUAUUCCGAGAGACAGAGAGAGAGAGAGAGAGAGAGAGGAAUUGGAUCCAUGAUGCUGAGUCAUCUGAUUCUGAUGUCCUCUGAGAAUUCGGAUAAGCUCGACACCUGUUCUUGCUCAUUGGCUCUCCUUCUCUUCGUCUCUCUUUUAUAUCGUUGUUUCUCGCGAUAACUCUAGCCCCGUUUUAUCUAUAAUUUGCAGAAUUAUUGUAAGCAAACUUUCUUUGUCAGUCUCCUAUAAUUAAACAUAUCUCAUUACUACUUUUCUCCUAGUCUUUGUUUUGAGCUACUUUAGUCUAAUUGAAGUUGGAAAUAACAGAUUUGUAAUAUCUCGUCAACAUCAAAGAAAGGGAAAUAUAACAACUAGAAAAUUAAAUAAUUUGUAUCAAUUUUUUGGUCAAUAGAAAGUAGAAUUUUAGAGUUAAAAGAUGUGGUUUUGUUAGAAUGGGAAAUACUAUUAGAUCAAUAAUUAAUUAUUAGUUUUAUUUAUAUAUAAAGUAAAAAACAGAUAAUGAUAAAACAUUCAAAAUACCAAAAAAUACUUUUGAUUAAUGCAAACAUUAAUAAUUAAAAUUAUUAAUUAAAUUAGAAUAAUAUGGUAAAUUCACACUUUUUUAUACUAAAAAAUUAAAAUUAAAAAAAAUCAAAUAAUUGAUCCUUUUUUUAUGGAACACAAUUACCUAUUUUUUUUUAAUUCUAAAAUAAAUUUGAUUUUUUUAAAAAAAGAACCUCUCAUAAACGAGGAAACGUGUGGGAAAAAGUUGAUAUAUAAUUGAGUCAUCACAUUUUAAAACUAAAGGUUAAGAUCAAAUUUAUUUAUCUUGAUUUAAUGAUUCAAUCAUUCACUUAUUUUCUAUUUUAUCAAUUAGAAAUGGAGUCAAAUCAAACUUAAAGAAAAUGUUGAAAAAGUGAAAAGAGACAAAUUCACUGACGUAAUUCAAUUUUGAGUAAAUUCAUUAUCUUAUAAAAGAAAAAACACAUUAUCUACUUACACAAUCAAAUUCUCGAGAAAUUGAGGAGAAAAUCAAAUUGCGGAGUUUGGACACAAUAAAACAUCAAAAUUAUCGAUACCUCCAAUCCAAAGAAUUGAGAAAACGCCAAAAGAAGCUGGGCCUCCACGCCCAGCCAGUCACCACUUAUCUAUCAAAACCAUUUCCGCUCUCUGAAAAACCAGUGGUUUUUCAGCAAACCCGGAUUCAUUUCCUUCCAUCUUUCCCUAUAAAUUAACGCCAUUGUCCCCUUAACUCACUCUUACGGACUUCACAAACACCAAAAACAACAGCAAAAGCAAUUACAACCCUUAAUUUCAAUUUCAGUUCCAGAGUUUCAGAGUCUAGCAAUCGAAGAUGAACCAUUUGAACAGAGUUUGGAUGGCGGCGAGCGUGGUCGUGGUGCAGGGCCCUGCCGACCAGGGGCCUAAGUGGACAUCCGGUCUUAAAUCCUUCCAGCUAAGCAGGAGGAGAUGCUUGGGUGGUGCCGGGGACGCUUCGGAUCUCCGCCCAUUGUCCGGCGCAGUCGGGUCGGGUUUCUCCCAAGUUUGUGAGGAGAGACGGAACCAGGCCGACGAGUCUAUCCAAAAAGUCAUGUACUUGAACUGCUGGGGUCAGGGCUGAGGUCGGCGGCGAUUGGAAUUUUCCGGCGCAGAAUGAUUGGAGUUUUUAACUCGGGAGUUGCCGUUUACUCUCGGAGAGGUGUGGUUGGGUUAAAUUGAAACGGGUAACUCCACGAUUGAGUUGACGCGGAUGGAAUCUUUCUUUGUAAAUUGUACAGAAAAUCUUGAAUUGUGGAGAUUUAGAGGAAAACCAUGAAUAAUAGAUGGGACCUUUUAUUUUCAUCUCUUUCUUUUUAUUUUUAUAUUUAAAUUUCAUGAAAGGAACUUUCAAUUGAUCAACAAAAAAAAUUUACAAAACCCAAGUUCAUGUUACAAAUUAAAAUUUACAUAACUGAAUAAAAUGAAUUGACUAAUAUUAAUUGGUGUUUAAUUUAGUUGUGCAAUUAGGUGGUAAAAGUUUUCACAACAUGUAUAAAUGUUGUUGAUUAACCAGAGUUUUCCAUUUAUUAUAUUGUAAAAUAAUAGUCG